CCAAAUUCAUCUUCUGAAUUCAUAAUUUUUUCUUUCUUUCUAUGUUUUGCGAAUUCGAUUUUCAAUUAAGAAAGUUCCGAUGAGGAAGAAAUCCCCUUAAAGAUAGGAAGUGCCGUAUGACACUUUAAACAGCAGCGGAUCACGGCGGCGCGUCAUCCCAUCCACCAAUUCGCCGGCCUCCGAUCAUUAACACGAUCUUAGAGCUCAGUUCGUUGGUCGGGAUUCGCGUUUUAGCCUCUUCCACUGUGUGUGUGAUUUUGAACGGGUCUCUGAGGUUUUUUUCAUCUACUUUUCUAUCAAAUCAUUUGAUUUUUUCUUCAUAUCUUCUGGUUCGAUGCCACGUCGACGGUAGCCAAAAGUGCAGUGACCGACGAUGCUAUGAUUGAACCUAUAACAGACUUUGUGUCUUUCGCAAUUUUAUAGGAACCUGUGAACUGAUUGUUAUCCGUUCAUUCACAGAGCCGGUUUUUGCGAUUACAUUUUUUUUAAUAAAAAAAAUAUUUUUAAUUGAUUGAUUUUUGAUGAAAUUUGUGUGUUGCCAAUGAGGUAUUAAAUCGUUAUAAGUUGGAAUUACCGACUGAUUUUACAUUGAUGAUACAUCGACUAUCUGAGGCAUUUCAAAUUGUUUUGAAUUUUUUGGAUCUUAAUAUUCAUAUAAAAAAGAUAAAUUGAUCGAUAGUUUGUUUUUUUGGCAUUAAUAUUAUAUGAAUAUUCACAGCAGAUCAUGUUGUAAUUCAUAAGAACAAGGAAUUGCUUUUUAACUAAAAUGUCCGAAUUAGGGUGUAACGUUUUUAAUUAGUUCCACACUAUUAAAAUUUUUUUGGAUGAAAAUAAUUUAUUCAGGUGAUAACUUAUUUUUAUUUUAGAUUUGCUAUGUGGUAGUUGUUUGUGGUUUGUAGAUAGUGAUUUUGAAUUGUUUUGUGUCGAGGCUUGAACAAUGUUGCUUGAUGAUUCUUGAAAGUGCCGAAGUGUAGCUCAAGAGCACGUGUGAAUUUGUAAUUUGUCUUACAGAAGAUUGUUGUUGGCUUAUUCUCCUUGAAAGGAAAAAGAUGAUUCAUUUCGGAAUGUUGAUAUAUGACAUUUUCUGGAAAGUUGAUAGCUGACGUUUGCUUGAGACUUGAGAGGAUUAUGUGUGGUUAAGAAAACUUAGGUGUGAUUUGUGAGGGAUUAAGAAUUAUAAAUCUAUUUGUGAUCCAAAAGAAAAAAAUGACUAAUGGGAUGGGGAUUGCAUCAUCUGUUCCCGAUUAAUUUUAGGUUUAAAGAAAUUAAUUUUUUAGGUUAAAAGAAGUCUAUAAUAUAAUUUUAUAAUUUUUUUUGACAUCCCUAAUUAGUGCAAUGAGAGUAAGAUCCCUGACAACAAAUAGGAAAUAGUAAGGAAAGAUGAUAUUAGAUAUAGCACGGAAAAGGAGAAGAGACUACUUGAGUAGGUAAUGAGAGAAAUUAGAGAGGAUAAAGCGUAGUAUGUAAGAAAAAGAAAGAGAAAGUUUGGAAGAGAAAAGAGCACAAUAUGUAUUGAUGCAUACAAGUAAUUUUGUUGGAAUGUUGACUAAUGGAAUCUUUAACGUAUCCUGGUUACCUGAUAAAAUAAAGUAUGUUGGAAUGUUGACUAAUGGAAUCUUUAAAGUAUCCCGGUUACCUGAUAAUCUCUCGUAUUCGGCUAUAGCAAGAGCCCUAAAUCUAGAGCCGCUUGACAUUCCAAUCUAGUUUCAACAAUGCACUUUUCGGACUGAGAAAGAGGGUUUGCUUGGCGUAAUGAUUCAAAUUUGGAAAUAAAUAACAAAAAAUAUUUUACAAGGAUUCUGUACAUAUAAAAAACGUAGAAAUCUGAUUUAUGAUGAAGAAAGUUAUGACCCGUCGAAAUUUUACGAUCAAACAGACAUGAGUCGAUAAUCGUAAAAAGUGAAUUUUUGAAAACUAUUUUUUAGCCUUUAAACGAAAGCGUACAAUUUUAAUUUUUCUAAGAUUCAUAGCAGUAUACAACUUGGAAAUUGAAUUUCAGAUUGAUCGAUUAUUGACACAAUCUAAACGACAAUUGAAGAUCUUGUUAAUAGAAGCUCAACGAUAUAAAUACAGUCGAAAACGGACGUCAGAUGAUAAAGUUAUGAAUUUUUAACAGAUUUUUAACUGUCUAAGCAUGUUAAAAUAUACCUUUAUAGAUAACGUCAAAACUAGCCGACAGAGUUUAUGUAACAUCCUGAAUUUUAGAAGUAUGAUUUAAAGGUUUAUAGUGUAUAUUCGAAGAAGGAACUCGAUGAGUAGGUACGCUUACUCGUCGAGUCGGAGCGAGUUUGGGUCGCGAAUUAAGUGACCAACUUGCCGAGUCGAAAGCUGGACUCGACGAGUUUGUGCUGGAAUGAGAAAACCCUAAUCUUUGGGUUUGCAUCCUAUUUAAAGGACUUUAUGUCCUUCUCCCAGCCUCCUAAUCCCCCAGAGAGUUCUAGAAAACCCUAAUUUCGUGUGAGACUUCAUUAUUGAGGAGAUUGGAGCUUGGAAGAGGAAUUUGGUGGAAGGAGCUUGAGAAAUUAGGGGCUAGUAUCAAGGGGCUUGUAUGGAUCUGGGAUCUACAUAUGUUUGGACAUAUUUCAGAGGUAAGAAGCCAUAAUCUUAUGCUAAUUUCCAUUUUGGUUCAUCCUUGGUGGUUGAUGUGGAGUUCCUUGGCUUGUUUGAGAUCUAUCUCGAGUUGGAGUUUAGAUCUGAGGUUCCUACUCCAGAUCUAGACUUAUGAUGGCCUAGAAUGUCAUAAAGUUUCAGUCAUUGAGUUGUUGGUGAAGCCCCUUUGUCUAAAACCCAAGCCAUAGUGUGUUUUGGGCCUUUAUCUCCUUGGUUUCACGUAAAGUUUGCAACUUUAUGUGAGGGUUAGAUUGUAGAAUGGUGGAUCUAUGGUUUAGAGCCCCUGCAUGGCUCGAAAAGCCUCUAUAUGGAAUAAGAAAUGGAGAAACUCAGGGAGUCACAUGGGUGUACUCGACGAGUUGUAUGAACAUGUGCAGGGACUCGGCGAGUUGGAAGAACAACUCGGCGAGUCUAUUGAAGAUUGUCUUGGACUCGGCGAGUCUGUUCUUGGACUCGGUGAGUCAGGUCGCAGAACCCCAACCUCUUUUGGUUAAAUCCUUGGAUUAAGUGAGUCGGUCGGCGACUCAUUGAGUUAGACAGGAUGCGACUCAGAGAUUGUUGGACUCGGCGAGUCUUGGGGUGACUCGGCGAGUUAAGUUGUCUUAUGAGAGUUUUUUGGGAAUGGGAACUCGGCGAGUCGACAGGUUGACUCGACGAGUAGAAUCAACCGGGAAGGUUGACUUUGACUGAGGACUUUGACUUUGACCAAUAGUUGACCAGUUUGACUUCAAGGGUAUUUUGGUAAUUCUGGUAUUUAUGGCAUUGGUUCUUUGAUAGUGUUCUGUGGUGAAGUUUGUGUCGGUGGUCGAAGCAGCUUGGUCUUAUCUCUCCAGUCGGCAAUUGCAGGUGAGUUAUCCUCACUAUACCGACAUGGUCUACGACACCAAGGCCGACCCUUUAUCGGAUGGAAAUCCGGGUAUUGUUUGUUAUGUUAUUGCUUUGCUAGAUUUGCAUCCUAGUAUUUAGGAUGGUGUUAUGUUAGUGACCUCGUUAAGGUCGGUACCCGAUAUUUAGGGUAGUGUUAUGUUAUUGACCUGGUUAAGGUCGGUACCCGGUAUAUAGGGUGAUGUUAUGCUAGUAACCGGUUAGGUCGGAAUCCUGGUUAGGAUGUUGAUAUGCUAUGUGAUUUGUUAGACUGUUUGUCUGGUUAAUGAUUUGUUAUGUGAUUAAUUGCUUUAUGUGCACAUGAUUGUUUGACGGGGGUUGGAUUGAGGCGGGUCCUGCUUUGUGUUGUAGGCCAACAUAGCCACGCCGGACCGGAUAUUCCGAAGGCCGAGCGAGCGGUUCGGAUAGGCUGAAGGCCCCAAGAGGGCGGACCAGACGUGCCGAGGCUCGGGGGGUGGGACANUCCAUCUUGUGUGAUGAUUGGACCCAUAGUAGUUAUUGUUGUAUGUAUAGGAUUUGGGCAUUCCAACCCGAUGGUUGUGGACCGAGAGUAUUCCAUCCCGGUAGGAUGAUUGGGCUCGUGUUAUGUAGGCAUACCAACCCGAUGGUUGAGGGCCAGGGGUAUUCCAAUUGGAAGGUUGAUUGGUCCCGUAAUAUGUUGUUCUUUGCUGUAUGCGUAUGUUUAUGUGUGUAUGGGUACUUUGGGGGAACUCACUAAGCUUUCGGGCUUACAGUUGUGGUUUAUUGUUUCAGGUGCUUCAGGAGAUCGUGACAAGGCGAAGGCGUGAUCGUACCGCUCUUCAUGUUUUAUGAUUUAUGUGAUAUGGUUCUGGGGAAUACUCUGGUGUUUAAACUAUUUUGAAAACAAGUGUAUGAACUUAAUGGUUUUUAAAUGAAUUAAAAUGUUUUAAUUUGGCUCGAAUUUUAUGGUCGCUACAGUUUAAACGAAAGUUGUCGAUCACAUCGUUACGUACAUAUGGAUAUAAAGAAUGUAAAAAAACGUAGCUCGUAUGUGAAAGUUACGAAAUUUAGAAGAUAUUUUGUUUUUGGGUUAAGUUCUGGAGGUGACACGUGGCAUAAACUCAGCCCCACCUUCCUCCCCAUGACUUUGCAUAUGAUCUCGACACGUGGCAUGCGUACGCCCAACGUAGCAUGCGUACGCCCAACAUAUAGCAGUACACCCAACGUACAUCAAAAUUACUCCCUGUGUACUCACAAGUUUCAGCCUAUAAAUAGAGGCGCAAAUAAUCUCAUUUCUUUACACCUUUCUAACUUUUUCUUUCCCAAACACCCCAAAACCCUCAAGGUUUUUCCCUAGCACCUCCUAGGUGUUAGUAGCGAGUCCCAGAGCGCCAGACGGUCCCGAGAAGAAGAGCUGGCUCAGAAGUUCUGGUCGCACAGAGUCCGGUUCCUCGCUAAACUCUCUUGUAAGUGAGUUAUGCUUACCCUACUUUCAGUAUAACUUAUUUUUAAGCUCAUUAUCGUUAUUUGAACAUAUAAACAAGAUUUAUCAGUGAUUCUAAAUUGUUAUACUGAUUGAUCUACUUACGGGGAUGAUGUCUAGGUUGUGAUUUAAUGAGGUGUUUAAAGUGAGAUUUCCAAACAGUAUACUUCGUAUACCAAACGGACCAUACCUCCGAUAUGAUCCUACCUGGUUGUUCCUUACUUGAUAGAUCAUGAAAGUAGACUUUGAGUUAAUGAUGAAUCUAGACUAAUAAUUAGUCGCAAUAAAUAUUAGACUAAAAACUUAUUGAUUAGGUUUCGUCGAAGAAAAAAACGAUUGUUAGAAGCGAAGCACUGUCCGAAUUUCGAGUCAUCACUUUAACAAGUGAGUACAUAGUCCCUUUCAUGAACAUCAUUUUAAUACAAGUAUUAAUUAAAGUAUUAAAUAUAUGUUUAUGUGUGAAAUAUUGGAUAUUGCCUGAAAUACGUGUUAAGAACAUAUCUGAUAAUAUAUGAUGAUUUAUGAUACAGAAUAAACCUAAAUUAAUUAAAAAGAAUACCGAGUGGUAUAUUCUUAUGAGUACGGGUGAGAUAUACACGGAGGGUAGAACUUUAAAAAGUGUCAUUAAUCCGAGAGCAUGGAUUAGACAUAUUCAUUCGUCCCUAGUUCGAGAGUAUGAAGUUGGCAUAAUCACGUGUCAUUGAUCUGAGAGCAUGAAUUUGACAUACUUGAUCCGAGAGUAUGAAUUAGGUAAAGCUGUUAAUUUUAUAUUCGAGAGCAUGGAUCGUAUCGUUAUGAGGAUCGACGGGGUAGGGUAAAAAUUGCUUAUAUGAGGUGAAAUUGUAUAUAUUGUGAGUUCUAAAAUAUAUAUGAUAUAAGAUUAUGAGAUUGAAAUCCCUAUGUACUCACCAGGUUUCCCAACCUGACCCACUCAGUUUAUUUCAAUCACAUGUAUCGAUGCGAAAAUACACUACACUAAAAGAUUAAAGGAGAUGUAAAUCAUUAGUGUAAAUGAAUGUAAGGUAUGCUUAUGCUUAUGUUUCUGUAUUGACGAUAACAUCCCAAUGUUUUAAAUAAAAAGACAUUUCUUCGAAAAUGCUUUGAUAACAUCGUUAUCAUGUUUUCUGGAAAUAAAUUCCGCAAUACUACUUUUCAAAAAUGAUACUCUGAUUUUUAAUUAAGCAUAAAUAAAAAUUUUAAAAUGACCGUGAAUGUGGGGAUGUCACAAUCGAGAAGGAUAAAGAGGAGGAGAUUAGAUUAUGAAAAGGAGAAUAGAAAAAUGUAAUAUGGAAAGAUAAAAGAGAAAGAAGAAGAAUACAUAGACAUGAAAAUAGAAAAAAAUAACUUACCAACCAUUAUUGUCUGUGACAUUGUUGUCUACAAUGUCUGAUGUUGUAGAGAUGUUUCAUGUUUUAUAGGUUCAUCUAACAGUCAUGGUACGUGAAAAGAUAGGAGCACAUUGAGUUCGACUAUAUUGCUAAUUUAGUUGUAUUUUACCUUGUUGAUUAUUAAAAUUAUAUGUAUGAUUUUAUUGUAAACUCGAAUGUAACCUGCGAUGUAAAUUGUUUUGAGUUAAUAGAAUUUCGUCUUUUAGUAGAUAAGUUCAUAAGUAUGACAAUUCCUAGUUAAUUAGAUGUAGAAAGUCCAGAUCGUUACAAUUUUACCUUAUUAUCCUUUUGGGGAUGGUCAUGGUUGUUUUAGGUUGCAUUGACUUAUGAUUAUCUCCUUGUUUGCAUCCAUGACCUUGAUUUUGUCUUUGGACUCAACGUAGACCUUAACUUUCACUUAAGGUAUUUGUAAAAUAGGUUUAAAAUGUUUUUUUUAAGUUAAAAAUAUUUAAACCAAAUGAAAACAACAAACCAUUUUUUAAAAUGUAAAUCUUAUAUUUUUCCUAUGGAGAAAAUGUAAUAUCUUGUUUUCAUGUAUUCCAUUUUGACCCUUAGUUUGAGUAUUGUUUGCAAAAUUAGUCCCGAGUGGCAUUUUUGUAGUUUUAUGAGGCUACAUGUGUACGAUGGGCGUACGUGGCCAGGGUACAAACCCUUUUUUUUAGGGUUUGGACCCUAUUUAAACAUCAUUAUAGCCUGAUACUCUUUCUUAACUCCAACCUCCAUCUCCCAUAGCCUCCAUCUCGAAAGCCUAAGUGUGUGAGUGUGUUUUGGAGCUUUGGAGUGUCAUUUUGGUUCUCUUGGUGGUGAAGGAAGACUCUUGGAGUUGUGGUGUUUCACUGAAGUCUUUGGAUCCAACAACUACUCUCCUUUGUGCGUCUUCUGAGGUAUAAAGCUCCAUCCUUGAUGAAUAUUCCUUCAGAUCUUGUUCAGUCUUAGAAGGUUACACCUUUUUGUACCAAAUCUUGAUUCUUGUGAGUAUGGAAUACUACAGGACCUUUAAGUUGUCCUUUAAGAUGUUUUAGGGCAUGAUAAGUCAUUAAAAUGUAAUCUUUAUCCUUAGUUUUCCACCAUGCAUGGUCUAGGUUGUCUUAAUGAGUUAAUAAGUUAGGGUUUUUAGUAUUCAACACUUAAUAGCCAUGCAAGAUCAUAAAGUUGGAAACUUUAUGAUUAAGGACAUCAUUUGAGGAGUACAUUUGGACUUUGGACGAAAAGGAUUAAAUGAUUAAGCUCUUAAUAGAAAGGAAUGAUGGCAGACGCGUAUGUUGUGCGUACGUGGUCAACUCGACGAUUCUAGUCAAUACGUAGUACGCCCCGCGUACGGGUUGAGUACGCCCAACGUACUCAUUGAGUUGACCCGGUUGACUUUUGACUUUGACCUAGGGGUAUUUUGGGUAUUUUGAGCUAUAGUCUGAGUUUUGGUCACUGUUAUUUGUAAAGGUGAUCGGUAGAGUUGGUUUUCAGAGCAACGUGUUGUUUCAUCUUUUGUCCGACUGUGAGGUGAGUUUUUCAUGGUAUCCAUGGGUCGAAGGCACCAAUGCCGACCUAUUAUUGUGUUAUGUAGGAUGAUAGUCGUUGUGUGGCUUCUAUGUGGUUGCAUGUUCGGGUUGAAAUAAACCCCAGGGUGGGACCCACUAUUGUAUGAUUAGGUUGGAAUAUACCCUAAGGCCGGGCCCUAGGGCUAGGCCCAUAUGUGUUGAUCAGUUUGAAAUACACCCCAGGGCCCAUAUAUGUAUAUCGGGUUGGAACACACCCCAUGGUUAAGCCUAGUUGUAUGAUUGGUAUGUGGUACUUUGGGGAACUCACUAAGCUUUGUGCUUACAAUUUAUGUUUAUGGUUUCAGGUACUUCCGGUUCAAAAGGGAAGGACCCGACAUGAUGGCACAACAUCCUCCCCUCGUGAUUUCCACAUUUUGAAUAAUUGAACUAUGCUAUUUUGAUAUUAUAUAUGGUGAUGGUUUUUGAAACAAUUAUUGAAUGAAAUUGUUGGUCUUUCAAAUGAAAAAAAUUAUCACUGUUUUUGAGCUGUUACAAAAAAACUAUAUAUAAAUAAUGUUUUCAAUUGUUGGCUAGUUUAUAUGACUAUUUCAUCUUGAGUAAUAUGAACAAUUUGAAUAAGACUAUCAUGUAGUUGAGACACCUAACACCACCCUUAACGCUAAGGCAAAAGAAUGGCUCAAUCUCAAAUAUUUCUUUCCAACAAUGUUGACGAGACAAUUUAAUUCUGCUGCGGAGAAAAUGUGUUGGGGAAAUUCGAAUUAGGUAUUGAGAAAUCUAGAUAACAAACAGGAAUCGUGUAAAACACUUUCAUUGUUUGAUACUUUGAUCCUAUAUGCAUUGGAUAUCACGAAAUCCAAACUGGGAUAAUUCCUGAUGUAGCAAUUCUAAUUUUAGGCACAAGAUCAGAAUCAAUUUUUUAGAAGAUGAAGAGAGAGUGUUUUUAGUUUCCUAUGGGACCCCUGACCUGACACAGUAGAUUAGGGUUCAAUACUAACAAUGUUUAGUAAAUACAAGUAUGCACUCCCGCACCUCCUAACUUGUAUUAUAACUAAAACAUCAUUCUUGAAACACUUGUUAAGUCCAUUACACUAAAAUACAUUUGGUGAUAAAAUCACCAUCAAAAUGGACAUUAGAAGUAUAAUUGUUUCUAACUUUUGGGUCUUAGAUAUGUAUAUUGAACAAGUCAAGAGGUGUGUCAUUUCAAAUAUGUAUAUUGAACUCCAUAUUACUUCUGUUUCUAACUUUUGGGUCUUAGAUAUAGUAUGUGGUAUUCUAAUUUACCCUAUUUUAUAGGGGAUUAAGAAGAACUAGGAAGUUGAAGCGUGUAGAGUUGAUUUGAUGUCAAUUUGCCUUUGAUUAGUUGAACCUCUCUAUACCUAAGCUUUUUAUUUUCCAUUAGUGUAUAUAUAUAUAUAUAUAUCAAUGCAAAUGUAAGUAAGAAGUUGAAGCAUGUAUAUUCGAUUUGAUGUUAGUUUGUCUUUGAUUAGGGGAACCUCUCCAUUCCUAAGCUUUUAUUUUCCGUUAGUCUCUAUAUAUCAAUCCAAAUGUGAGUAUCACACACGUUGUUUAAUGAGUCUUAAGAGUUUAUAGUAGAAGCAUUAUGAAGUUUAAACAUAUAUCUAUUUGAAAUUCUACACUCCUUGGCUUUAGUUCAUUUUUUCCAGGUAUUUAGAACAACUACGUUUUCAGUAUCAUUUUUCUACGUUGUAAAAACAUAUUGCCUCAUUAGAAUUGUUUUAAGGAAGUAUCAUAGAGUCAUUUUUUCUAUUUCCUUUGGGAUUUGGGUGAAGUUUACUCUUCUCCUUACAUUUAAGAUGGUUAACAUAGUUUUUUCAAAUUGUUUAUAUUAUAAUUUUGGAUGAUCUAGUUAUAUAAACUGGUCAAUGAGUUGAGGAUAUUAGUUACAUAAAUGGUUUUUCAUGGGUGUUACUAAAUUAUAUUUUUUUCCCUUUAAUUAAAAUAUUUUUAACCUUUUCGGAUCAUUUGUUAACUCUUAACAAUUAUUGUUUGUGUUUCAAUAUUUAUUUUUAAGCAAUCAUGUAACAAUUUAAGAUAAACACAACACACAUGUAAACAACAAGAGUAAUUGGUGGUUGUCGAGGCCAACAAAAAUAAAUACCCUAAAUAUUACAAACUAAAAUAGUAUAUAGUGGUAAGGAGAUCGUAUCCAUGGAGAUUAGUUCAAUUAAUAACUCUAUGAAAAUCUUUUUAUAUAAAUACUUGUGAUUUUUUUUUUUUUUUUUGUCUUUUGAGAUAUUUAAAAGAAAACUAGAGACUAGAGUUACACUGAGAUUUAAAAACACAAUUCAACAAAAAGCAAGGUUUAAUAUAAAAUUAAUUAGAGAAAGAUGGUUGACUUAAGGUUUCAUCACUUGAAUAGUUGGUAAAUAUAUCAUUAGAAUUCGAAGUCUAAUACUUGUCUUAAAUCUCCAAUUUGGUUAUAAUAAUCAAAGAAGCUUGAUAUUACCUAGAUUUUUCUUAGUUAUUAAAGUAGCUAAAGAAGCUCAUAACAUAUUUCUUUAGUUAAAGUCAUAAUUUUCAUUAAGCAUGUAAUUAGUGAAAAUUAACUAGCAUUAAGGACCAAAAAGUAACCAAAUCCAAGAGGAAUCAUAAGCUUCCACUACCAUGUUGGAGAAAAUAUUUUUGUGAUUGUGUGAAGUGAUCCAUUACUUAAUCAAGAAAUUAGCCAAUUAAUCACUACAAAUACAUUUAAAUUCAUGAAUAAAAACAUACAAGUAGCAAGAAGAUGUUAAAAUAUAAAACAUUUUCAUAAAGACUCAAGAAGAAGUUCUUGGAGUUCAUUAAAAUUCAACCAAACAUUCAAUCAAAUUCACCAAAGUCAACCAACAUUUGUUUUGCAUAACAUGGCUAAACUCAAGAAACUAAAAUAAAUGUUAGGGGUACCAAGCAUUUAGCAAGAUUCAAGAGUAAAAAUGAAGAUGUUCUUCAAGUCCUUCAAGUUUUUCAAGGCCUUUAAAGUACAGAGAAAAUGCUCCUAAACUCAGAUCCAAAAGUUGUCCCAAAAGCAUCCCACAAACCAUCCCAAAAUAGCAGUAAAAAAUAAAAUCUCGAAAAUGCCCCUGCAGGUCACACAAGCUACGUGAAUUUUAGCCUAUUUAUUGCACGGGACAUGUAAGCUGGUUAGAAAUGGGACUUUUUUAUUUCUUGGAUUUGAAUUGCAUUAGUCCACCAACCCAAGUUUCUCCAAUAGAUGAUAGGUCCAAGAGUCUUCAAAUCUUCAUAAUUUAACAAGUCCAAACAUUCUCUUUUUUUCUUCCAAUCUUCAUUUGAGACCGAACCCAAUUGGUUGUCAACAAAACACUUUCGAAGUAGCCCACAUCCACAUCUCUCCUUAAAUCAAUAGUCCAAUUGUGUCCAUCAAGUGAUCCGGAAAUGCACUACAAGCUUCAUGUUUUAAGAUCCCAUACUCCCAAAACUACUCCACUUUGAAUAGUCUUUAAUAAAUCUCAAAUAAGUUGAAAAGACUAAAAAGUACCCAAUAAAGAUAUAAAAUAACAAAAAUAGAAAAAAUGCAUGAAGAUUAACUAAAAUGAGAUGAAAUGUGCUAAAAUAAACUAUAAAAAAAAAGUAAACAAAAUGAAACUAUUAGUAGCAUUUUCUUUAACCCUAUGCGUUUUUCAUGUUAGUUUAUUAUUGUGUUCUCCUUUUUCAUAUUUGGAACUCACUUCCCGAGUAUUAAUUUGCUCAAACCUCUACAUUCGGUCAUACUCUUGGAAGUAAGUGGUGAUUUAAGACUGUCAUUGAGUAUUAGUAGAUUGUUCAUGCUGAUUGGACAUAACAUAGAGACUACAACUAACACUCCUGAGUACUUAAUGGAUAUUUAAGUAUAGAACAAACCACACUUAGAUAUUACUUCAUGGAUAAAGUCAUAAGUGAUUCUAAGAUGAUAAUGUCUCUUAUUCUUCAAACAGAGAUACAUGAGAUUUUUACUUUCCAACACUAUCCGUAACUUGUAGUAAUAAAGGUAUGUCGAUGUAUGGCAUGAUGAGUAGACGAAAGUUAUGUAUGGUCCCCUCGAUGAUUUGUUGCUGACAUCUAAAGUGUGACGAGCCUUGACUGAAAUUGUUGUGUUCAAUUUAGUAGUAUAAGGUGGUCGUUACAAAUCUUUAUUGGGAAACAUAAUCAUGAACAUUCGGAUUGACCCUUAUCCAUGUUUAAGGUUUAGACAAUAUCUUGUGAACAAAUGAAUAUAUGAUCACUUAUUUAAGGGCUGAAUCUUAGUUUGAUCAAAGUUUUAUAGUUUCAUUGGAUGGCAUAGUCUAUGUUGAUUAUUUGAGAAGUAUUAGACCUCAUAUAGUUGAUGACUUGUCUAAGUGGGAGACUGUUGGAAAUAGUGUCAAAUAUGAUAACUAUUAAUGAUAUUUCUAAUAAUAACAAAGUCCUUUUGGGUUGCUCUUAAGACCCAUUUAAGUAAUUAAAAGACAAAGUUUUGGGAGAAAUUAGUUUAUUAAUUUGUUAUGUUAUGAUAAAUUAACUAGAAACUAUUUUGGAACAUUCUAGAAAGAUAGGGAUAAGGGACAAAAUUUGAUAAGCCCUAUCAAGGUUUUGGAGUUGCUUUGGCAGUAAGCAAAUGAGAGCCUAUAAAUAAGGAGCUAGAGAUCAAACCCUAGUUACCCAUUCUUACUCCUAGAUUUCGUCCUCCUUUUCCUCCCUCCCAGGUAACGCAAAAUAACCCUUCUAAGGUUUUGUUUUGGCGAUUUUACCUCCCAUCUCCUAGGAUUUGUUGUUUUGCUCUCAUAGUGUUCUUGGGUGUGAUGUCGUUAGAAUGAUUCUAUUAUGGGCCCUCUCAUCCAAGAAAAUGUGGUAAGAACUCGAUCUCAAGCAAGGAGAUCUCUAGCUUCAAAAGAGGUAUGUAAUUUUUAUUACUUUAGUAGUUGCACUAAUAGAAUGAACUUAGAUCCUUAUAUAUUGCAUGAAAACAUAAAAAUUGUUAUAAUAUUCUCAUGCUUAUAAACUUGUGUUAGUAUGCCUAAACUUAUCACAAUUUCAGAAUGGGCCAUCCAAACCAAAUAAAAACAAUUUUUUCUGACAAAAAAAUAAACUUCAAACACAUUCAGGUUUCAAAUUAAAAUUCCGAAGUUCAGAAAAAAUAAAAAAAAAAACUUCAGAAUUUCGAAAACAAGUCUGAAAUCUGAUGAAUAAUUCCGGAAUGAUAAGAAAAAAAUUCCGUUUUUUAUUAAAUCUAAUAAAAAAUUAAACAAACACAAUAAAUGAGAACCAUAUACAAUAUUAUGAAUCAAACAUUGAUUGAAAAAAAAUACUAAUAUUAUUUUCGAAAUGAAUAUUUUGGACAUAAGUAGAUAGAUUUCUUUGAUUUUUUUUCUUAAGACAAAAAGAAUUUCAGAAUUUGAAAAACAGUCCAAAUGAGAUAUUAAAAAAAAAAAAAAAAAAAUUAUUUUAUUUAAAUAUGGCUAUUUAAAAUGGUUAAUGUAAUGAAUUUGCUAUUAUUAAGGAAAAAAAAAACGCUGCUAGAUACAGUCCCAACGUUGACACAGGCUCACUUUAAACACUACAAUUUCUCGGGUUAUAUUUACUUGUCCGAGGUUCUUGAUUUUUCCAUCAAGGACCAUUUUAGAAACGCAAUUUCAGAAAGGAAAAAAGAUCAAAAAACUAAACGCAACCCGUUUUCUGGAAUCAAACGCCAUCACCUAAAAUCUCACACUUUCAUCUUGAAACCCACUAAUAAGCUUCGAUUCUUUGCAGAGGGUAACGUAAAUCACUAUGCAGGGUUUAAAGAAGGGUUCCUCUCUUACAAGGCCUUUCUCAAUUCAUCAUAUCAAACGAAUGUUUUCGAAUUCAUUGUCCGCUCUUGAAGAUACUUUCUUAUCAACCAAGGUAUUUUAAAUGAUUCUGGUUUUCAUCCAAUUUCGUCGUUUGUGAUUACGCAGCAAUUAGGGCUUCUUACCUAUAUCUCCCCUCUUUUUUCCCCUUUCAUUGAUGAUCUUCAUUUUGAUAGGAUACAUAUGAGAGGCAUAAAGUUGUGUUUACAUUACUAACUUCCAUAGCAUCUAUUGGCACUGCUUGGACUGGUAUGUUUAGCUUACUUUACUUCAAUGUCGAAUUGAUCGACCUAUAUUCAUAACUUUUUCUGGAAGAAAUCUCCUGACUACAUCUGUGUCAUACUAAAUGUUAUAAAUAGCAUACUUUUGUUCCUGAAAUUGAAGAAGAAUCCAUAAGAAUACGAGAAUUAGGUUUAAGUAUAUGGAUUUGUGUAAGUUUUGCGACAUCAAACACCAUAAAAUUAACUCGAAUUACAGAAUAAGAUGCUUCUAUAAUCACUAGAUUAUGUUUGUAUCAAAUUUAACUUAAAAAUGUGAAUUUUUUUUUCAGGCUAUACGCUACGCCACCUUCAUGAAACAAAAGUUGAACAAAGGCUUGACUCAAUCGAAAAUGCUGUUAGUAUUAACAAUAAAAUUGAAACAAUGUAUAAAAUAUAUAAAAUAUAAUAAUAAGAUAGUGUUUAUACUUUAUACGUUUUUUUGUAGAUGAAAAGAAAUUAUGACCUUGAUGGAAAGGAAUUCAAAAAGAUGGUUGGAAACGGUAAUUCCAAUGCUGCAGCUUGUGUGGCCACAUCAGGUGUCACUUUGGUAAUCGGGUUUGUAAAAUAGUCUUUCUUCAAAACUUUUGUUGUUUUUAUAAAAUUUACCACAUCACACCUUGUAAUUGAACGAAAUUACGAAAAUAGUCCCUGUGGUUUUUUCAGGUAUGGGUUGGGUUGGAGAGGUGGGAGGUGGUAUGCAAACCGUAAAUUCAAAAGGGAACAGAUGAAGCUUUUGGGUCAAGUUAAACCAAAGAAAUGGCAAUUGAAGAAAAUUUUGGGUCGAUUGAGGAAGUCAAAUACUGCGGUCAAAGCAUCAGUCAAAGCAUCGGAAAGCGCGAUUCCGGUUGCACAUAAUGCUGCUUGAAAAGGGAAUGAUCAAUGAUGUAGAUUCAAGUGGAAUGGAAUCAGUUUUGAGAUAGAUAUACAUUUUUAGAGAGAGGUGAUAUAGUGUGGAGUUUUAUUACUACUAUUAACCUUGAAAUAAAGGUUUUAAUUUGUUUACACAAUUUCUUUAUGAAAUUAAUUGAUAUAGAAAAAAAAAAUCCUAAAUUUAUCAACUUCGGGUUUCCUUCUCUUUAAUGUUUGUUUUUUUGUCAGUUUUUAUUACAUAUAUAAAGAAGGAUAAACGAUAAUAAUAUACACAAAAUACAAGAUGGUAGAUGACUUUUUUUUUUUUUUAAAUUUGUGGGCCUUAACAAAUUGCAAUUGAAGGUUUUAGUAGAAUUAAAAUGCUAGCUUUUGUUGUUUAGUGAACAUUUGAAAAUUGAAAACAAAUAAAUAAAUAAAUAAAAAGUGUUAUCAGAGUUGAAAAAAGAGCAAGAGAAAAUCAUGGUAAUAUUUAUAGAAUGCUAAUUUCUCACUGGUAAAAAUAAAAAUUCCGACUAUAAAAAAACACAGAUGACAGAUGACAUAAUCAGAGAAAUUUUCCUUUGAUUAUAGUACAACAUGAGGGGUAUAUACAAUGGAGCAAAAAAAAAAAAAAAAAAAAAAANAAAUUAAAAAAAAAAAAAAAAAAAACAAACUAAAAUGUUAUAUUUUCCAUUCUCCACAAGCAUUCUUUCCGUAGGGGCGAAUCCGUAAAUAUGGCUCUGAUAAAAUCCCUCAUCUGCAACAUAUAUACAAAUAAUAAUAACUAAAUAAAAAUUGAAAGGUUUAGUUUAUAAGUGUUAUUAAGUAAAAGAUUUAAUAAUAAUAAUAAUAAUAAUAAUAAUAAUAGUAAUAAUAAUAAUACCUCAGAUGAAGUAUAACCACACUUUGCCAGCUCACCACUUUCCCAUGAUGCAGUAAUGGACUUCAAAGGCAUGUCCAACAUAUCUGUUCAUAUUUUUUAAAAUGAUAAUAUAAAAUCAUUAACUCCAAUUUGGUUGGAAUUGGAUGGAAUGGAAUGGAAUAAGUAGUUACAUUCCAUGAUCAUGUUAUUGGAAUGGAUUUUUUUAUUGUUAUAUUGAUUUCCAAUAUAUAUAAGUUUUAACUCUGCUUUUUAAGGAUAUUAGUUAUAAUUAAUAAAUUUUUAUUCCUUGCUAAAACCCAAAUAAGAUUUAUAACAAAAAAGUAUAUUAUAUUUUCUAGUUUUUUUUUUAGAGAAUAAAAUUGCUAUUUGAUUAAAACCAUGAUUUUUUUUUUCAGACAUUACAAAUUAAAUAAAUACAAAGUUGGGUUAUAUUGUGAAAUUUCAUUCCGUUCCACUUAAUUCCAUGAUGGGAAUGAAAAACAAAAGCGGAUUGACUCCAUUGGAAUGAACAAUUCCAUUCCGUCUCAGAUUUCAUCACAAACACUAGCUAAAGUAAAAGAUGCCUAGUGACACCAAUUUAAAUAAUUAAAAAAAAAAAAAAAAAACAUACCUGCUAAUAUCCGUAGUCUAGGGAGUGAUGGAAUUAGAUCAUUAAUAGAGCCUGAUGACUUCUCUUGUGGCUUUGUUGUUUGAUUGAUGGCAAUCAAAGAUUCCAUUAAAGAAGAAAGGUUUUCCAGCAGCAUAUGAAUCAACCUUUGAAGCUGAAAAAAACAAUAACGUAUUUAUGUGGAAGGAAUGGAAUCUGUGAAUGGAGUUGAACUCCAGGGGAAUCGGAAUCGGAAGAAAUUGUAAUCAAACAUCAACUCCAAACAAAUCUAACAAGAACCAAAACUCCGUCCAUUUGGCAUACAAACACGACACAGAAUGGAAUCACCGAUUCCGAUUCCGUCGGAAUCACGGAUUCCGAUCACACUCUAAUAGAUAUUACAAAGAAAGGUUUUACAAAAUGAACCUGUAAUGUUUCUUCAGCUGCAAUGUCAUCUAACAUGAGUAUAUCUUUUGUCAUUCUAGAACAAACAGCCUCCACAACACUACACAUACUUCCUUUGUAUGUCAAAGGAAGCAAAAGUGGCUCCCAUAUUAUGUGAACUUUCUCCAGUAUAAAAGCCACCUGAUCAAUACUAAAUUUUGCAGAUUCACAUCUUUUUGGUUGAUGCGUAUUUUGAAAUCCAUCAGCCCCAUCAAUCGCCUAAAAAAUUCAAAUUUUAUUAUUUAAGAGCAAAAAAAAAAAAAAAAACAAGAUUUGAAUUUGAAUUUUGAAAGAUAAAAAUAAAUUUACCUCCAUUAAAUUAUGUUUAACAAGCUGUAUCUGUCUUUGUAAUAUCUCUUCUGCCAUAAUCUUGUAUCUUACACCCAAAUCAAUAAACACAGCUCCCUUCAUGGAAAUUGGGAAAUCCGACUUAUACUGAAAUAAUAAAAUGGAAAUAUAUUUAUUUACCACUUCAAAAAAUAAUAAGUUAAACAAAAUUAAGUUAUCUUUAUUUAAUAAUCAUACCUCAAAAGCAAGGCCAAGAAUCUCUUGUGAAAGAUAAAGACAAUCAUUAUGAAUAAGAACAGCAACCUGGUUGAUUCCAUCCAGCUGUCUUUCUAACUUCAUAACACAAAAUGAAAUAUUAUAAGGCCAAAAUAAUACCAUAAAUACACACAUUUUCAUUUUCUUCAAAAUAAUUACAAACCUUGACUGGAAUAACAGCUUCAUAAAGAAGUAGAGCAUCCCUAGCAGCAUGGUAGAAUUCUAAAGCCACUGUUGCAGAUGAUAAACAAACAUCCUGCACAUAAUACACCAAUGUACUUUUGAGAGAAAACUGAAAAAGUAACUUUUUUUUUAUAUAUAUAUUAUUCAACUAAGUAAUAUUUUAUUUAACCUUUAGUGUUUCAUGGACAACUUCCAUUAAACGAGAAGCUGCUUCAGAAAUGACACAUUUUUCAGAGGAAAAAAGUAAGUCUGUGUUUCCACCAUUUUUAAGCUCUGUAUUUUUCCUUGAAUAGUCCUGUGAAAGAACUGUCAUUCAAUCAAUGUUUAUACAGUUGAUGAAGAACAGAAAAGGGUGUAUGGAAAAAGUUUAGGGAGCUUACUUUAGGAAGAUUAAAAUCUGAAUGUAGAAGAAGGUCUCUUGCUGAUGCUAAAAUCUCAAUCUUUUUCCUCAUUGCAAAGUGAACUUCAACAUUGUCAGCAAAAUUAGUCAACCUUUCAUCUUUCCCAGGGGAGAUGAACAUAACUUGUUUAAGAGAUGCCUCAAAGUCAGAUGUGAGUUGUCUUGUUGUUUGAAAGUCAGCAAGUUUGGAAGCAUCAGUGGGAACAAUCUAGCAUCACAUAAUGCAAAUCAAUUAUCUAACAUAUGAUGGUUUUGUUGUUUAAGAAGAAAUAUAAAAAGUAGUCAAUUAGAUUGAUUCUUAUGAGUUGUGAAAAGUCAUAACAUUUAUGUAAAAAGGAACGAACCUUGGAAAGGAAAUUAGAGAUAAUCAAUUCUGACAUUCGGGGCCAUGUUAAUCUUCCAAAGUAUCGCAUCCAGGAAGAAUCUUGAAAGCAGAUAAAGUUGAAAAUGAAUUGAAUCACAACAUUAAUUCCAGAAUAGAUAGUUUCAGCAUCCAUGUUCUCAAUCUGCAUGCAUAAAGGAUUAAGACACUAUAAGAAGUUAAUCUAAUAAUACUUUUUGUUAUUAGUGUUAUGCAUAAGAUAAAUAAAGAAAUGAAAUAUCCAAUGCCACUUUAUAAAUACCUGAGAAUCAGAAGGUGGGGUUAUUCUCAAAACUACCUCAGCUAUAUAUCCUGAAUCUAGUCUUUUUUCUUCUACAGAAAAACUAUGAGAACCAGAGCGCACUGCAGGUGCUAUCACAUGUCUGGUCAUCAUGUCUGCUACUUUUGCAAGCCCAUAAUCUAGAAUACCAACUACCUGCACAAGAAAAGAGAAGAAGAAAGCCUUUCAAUUUCAACUUGAUCUGCAUAUGAUGAUUAGAAAGAGAGGAACUCAAAAAUUUCUUUCUCUGUUGUUAUCAGAGGUUAAUUAACCCAAAGUUUUAGUAGAAUCAAUAUGCUUAUAAGAACUUAUCUUAUGAUUGUUCACCAACAAAAUCAAAUAAAGAGGAGAAGCUGAAAGCAUUUAAACUUACAUGCAUUGCUUUCACAACAGUACAAAGCUCAACCCCUUGAUUGUCAUUCAUAGCCAUUCUAUUUUUGACAUAAACUACAUUGGACUGCUGAUCGAAUCUCACUGCAUUCUCCAUGAACUUCACUAGCACAUUUUGUAUCUACAAACGCAAAUUCAGCUCCGGUUAACACACCACGAACUCAAGAAAGGCAAAUACUCAAUUAUGUCAUAAUUCUUAAAGAUAAUCAUCAUCUAACAUCAUAUGUUGCGAAAUAAGGAAACGUAUUGUGCCAAAUAAACGUCAGGAUUUAUCAAUUCAGUUUUUUUUCUAGCUCUACACAUGAAAAAUAAUACAAUUUCUACCUCUUCGAAGCAAUCUGUCCAUUUCUUCCUUAACAAACCAAAUACCAAUGGCUCUCUUUCUUCCCGGAGAUCCUCCACAUUAUCUCUAACUCGUAAAGCCACUUUCAAGUCUGUAAGAGCCUCUGCAGCCUCAACGACCUUUCCCGCCAUCAAAUCACUCUCCACAACACUCAACUCUUGGCUCAAUUUCAACACUACCUUAACUAAAUCUAGCGCUUCCUUCUUCUCUUUCGAUUCAACACGUUUCCUCCUAAUCUCAUCGACUGUUUCUUUGAUUUUCAGAUCGAUCGGUUGAAGAUUCGAUGAUAACAGACCAACAAGGUUAGAUACUUGAUCGGAUAGUUGCUCGGAAUUAAUAACAGCGUCGGAGCAGCGAGAGAAUAGGGCAGAGAAGUCAUCAUUGUUAGCGAGUAUGUAAUUGUGGACUUUGGACUUAAUGUCGAGUGAACGGACUUGGAGACGGUCGAUGAGGAGGCGGAGAUCGGGGGCGGAGAGCGGUGAAGAGUCGUCUAGAUCAUGUGACGAUAACAAAUCCCGGACGUCGAUUGAAUUGAAGAGUACAUCCAUCUGGAGGAGCACAGUGGUUCCCCGACGGGUGCCGGUGGUGUUGGUAGAAGGUUGUCUUUGCGUGGAGAUCAGGAAAGCAUACAAGUGUAGAAUUAGAGCCCAACCAAUUGGGCUUUUGUUAGUGGUAAUGGGCUGUAAGUAUUUAUAUUUGUUGAUUUAAAACUUAAAUUAGUGUAAUUUUAUAUAUCUUAUCUUAUAUUAUAUUAUAGGAAAUUGCGUAAGAUGGUUAACUAUCGGAUAGCAACACUCGCUCCAACACACAACUCUUUCUCCAUCAUCACUACAUGUAAUAUGGUGCGGGGAAAAUAUAUCCAACAAACGUUAAAUGACCGUUUUAACAUACAUAUUUCAUACGAGCAAACAUGAAGUGCACAAAUGUACGCUUUGAAUUUGUUGAGAAAUAUCCUUAAAGAAAGCUUUCAAAGACUUUUUUUGUAUUAUUACAAGUUGGAGAGGAAGAAUCCAAGGACUGUUACACAUAUAAAGAUAUGACAUGACAACAAAUUUUAAUAUUUUUUCCGUCGCUAUCGGUUGCGUGAUAAUAUUUCUUAUAUAAUCUAUUAAAUAUACGUGUAUUGGAUUGUAUGACUAAUCUAUUGAAUUAUUGUGUAGGUUUGAGCAUUUCAAAUAUGUUUAUGUCCUAUUAUUAUCAUUAACAGAACAUAUCUUAAAGGAAAAUACUUGGACAAUGUUCCUAGCAGUAGUCAUGGACAGUAAUAACUAAAUCCUCCCAAUAGCAUUUGGUGUUGGAAAAACUGAAAGUGGGGAUUCAUGGAUAUGAUUUAUAUCAAGACUCAAAGAAUGUAUUUAGGACAUGGAGCCUUUAGUUAUCAUAUCUGAUAGAGCCAAUUCCAUUGAAAUGAUAAAUCGUGUUUCCGAACACAAAUAACAGACUAUACUGUUGCCAUUUAUUGAUGAAUAUGAGAACAAAGAUCGGUAUAGUCAUCUUGGAAUCUCAUUCUUGUACAUGUGGGAAAUGGAAAUUGUCUGGUAUACCUUGUUCUUAUGCUAUGGCAAUAUUUAGGUAGUAUUUGGUACGCAGAACAAAAUUGGACUGAACUAAACAACACCUGUUCAAAUGAUGUUUGGCAUGGAUUGAACAAAAAGUCAAUGGGACAAAAACUUUGGUCAAUGAGACUAAAAUUGGUAAAUUUAGUCCCACCCAAAAAGUGGAACUGAGUGGGACAAAACAAAAUAUCCUUACUAAAACUAAAAUGCACUCUUCUUCUGUUCUCUUCUACCGUUCUUGUGCAAAUCCUUAAGAUCGAUAAUUUCACCCAUUGCCUCUUUCAAUCAAUCCCUUGUUGGUUGUACAUAUAAAUUUUCUUUCAACUCACCCUGUAUAAUUUAGACUUCUUCUUGGUCGUGAUUUACAUGAUUUUGGAUCCUUCAUUCUCUCUUCAAAAUCCAACAUCUUCUCGGCACAUGCUCUAUCCACAAGUUCACCUGGUACAUAAGAGAGCUGUUAAUCCAUCAAUUUCUUUCUAGGAAAUCUCGAAGCAUUUCUUUUCCCUCGAAUUUUCGUGCUUAAUUGUUCUAGAAAGUGGAUACUUGAUUGGAAUCUAUUCCAAAGGGAGAUGAUGUCCUAAAUUUAGAUUUAAGUUUUAAAAAGGGAAAGUAAGUUUUUAGAAGUAAAUAUGUUAAGAUGAAAAAGAAAGACGAUUUGUUUUUUUUUUUUUUUUUUUUUAAAAAUUUUCCAGUCACCUACUUAAUUCACACAUUGUUUUGUGAUUUAUUGAUAAAAUCACAGUAGCUUCUGCAAUUUGUUGUUAAAUCAUUCACACGUGUUGCAAUUGUAUGGUAUUUUUUUUCUUUCAAUUUGGGAUGUGGUGUUUUAUUGACAACUCACUCUUGUUUAAUAUAAACAUUUUAUAUAUUAUAGUUCACAGUUUGAUAUAUAUUUUUCUUUGAAUAAAGGUUUUAUUGGAUUUAUUUUAUCUUUGAUUGAAACAAUUCAAUGAAACAUUCAUGUUGAAUUAGCAAAGGAACAAACCCCACAUAAAAGUCACGAUUGAAACUUUUAUCAGCUUAAAUUUGGUUUUAUUUAAAUCAAGGGCAAUAUGAUAAUUUUAAUAUCUUUGUUCUGUUCUGUUAUAGUUUUACCAAAUGUUAUGUGGACUAUUUAUUAUGUUCGGUUCCAGUUCUCUCCCGUCCAGUCUACUUUUGUCCCACUACCAAACACUGCCUUAAGGAACUGAGAUAUGAGAUAUAAACACUGGUGUUUAAUUAUUAUACUAGUUUUUUUAGAGUAAAUUACACGAAUGGUCCCUAUGGUUUGGGGUAAUUUGCAUGUUUGGUCCCUAACUUAUUUUUUUAACUCGGAAGGUCCCUAUGGUUUGUUUUUGUUACGCGUUUGGUCCCUACUGUUUAUUUUUGUUACGCGUUUAGUCCCUGUAUUAUCUAAAAAGACUAUUAUUUAAAGAGAAAAAAAAUGAUGGGGUAGGUGAGGUAAUGUGAGGGGGUGGGAUUAGGGGUGUGUUUAUUUAAAUAAAUUAAAAAAAUCAAGGGCAUAAUAGUCUUUUUAGGUAAGAUAGGGGCCAACCGCGUAAUAAAAACAAACAGUAGGGACCUUCCGAGUUAAAAAAAUAAGUUAGGGACCAAACAUGCAAAUUACCCUAAACCAUAGGGACCAUUCGUGUAAUUUACUCUUUUUUUUAAUUAUAAUGUAAAGACCCAAAUUUUUUAAAAGAAAAUUUUCAUUUUUAAUUAGUCAAACACAUUUGCAUAAACCAUGAAACCCCAAACAUUGUUUUCAAAUCCACAUUCAUUACAACUUUAUUUAAAAACAUUAGUGUCCCGUAACGUAUCAAUGAGAGAGAGAGAGAGUGUGCACGUCGUGCCAUCACGCGUUGCCUUUGCUCUUGGGAUCUGAAGUACCUGAAACAAAUCCACAACCUGUAAGCUAAAUGCUUAAUGAGUCCCCAGAGCAUACCCACACAUAAACCACAUACAAGAUAGCAUACUAGCUAUCACAUAAAUCAUGCAUACAACAUAUAAAGAAGCCCUGGAAACCCUCUCGGGUCUUACAACUAGUGUCAUGGGAACCCUCACGUGGUCUUAGUCUACUGCUACGGGAACCCCCGGGGUCUUCCAUACAAAUUUCAUACUAACAUAACACAUCAUCAAUCGACAAUCCACAUAUCAUAGAAUGGGUCGGCCUUGGUGCCUUAGACCCAUUGGUAUGGUGAGGAGACUCACCUCUCGAAAGUUGAACUAGUAAGAUGAAGUCAAAUAUAUACCACACACUGCUCCUUCUCAAUUACCUAUAAUCAUCAAGUGAUUAACUUAACACCAUCCCAUAAAUAUUCUCAGAUCAACCCUGGUCAAAGUCAAGGUCAAGGUCAAAGUACACAGUCUAGGUCAACAGUCCAUGUUGACCUCGACUCGUCGAGUAUAACCAACCACUCAUUGAGUUCCUUGCUUAACUCGUCAAUCGAGUUCCUUAAUGUCCGCGACUUCAAACUCUCAACCACAAACCCCUGGCCGUAAACUCUUUGGCCAUAAACUCCUUGGCCGCAAACUCAUUGGCCGUAAACUCCUUGGCCAACUCGUCGAGUCGAUUAAAGGACUCGACGAGUUCCUUUAGUGCUUCUCGUUUUCGGCAUUUUCUAGUGGAACCUAGAGUCCCAAACUUCAAAUCUAGCCUUCCCUAGUGUAGAUGUCACGUAAAGUUGUAAAAUUUAUGUGCAUGCAAGGCCUCACAUGGACAUGACACCAAAACUAGUCUUCAUAUAAGGUUUUAAUGCACGGAAAGGGAUUGAAUUACCUAAAGGAAACAACUUUAUGUCAUUGGGACCUAAAGAGGUCCAGAUCUGUAACCAUGUCCUUGUGAAAGGUUGAGAUCUGAGUUUUGACCCCAUUUUGCACCAAAAAUGGUCAUUUAUUACAAAAAGAAGAGAACCAAGCAACUAGAUAUCAAGAUGGCGACUUUUUACCUUAGGAUGAUGGCCAAUACAGAGUAACUUCCAAAUCUACUGCUCCUCACGUUGUUCCUUCCUCUUCCAACUCUAGGAUCCUUCAAAAAUGCCCUAAAAUCACUCACAAACGCUCUUACUCUCACUCAAGGGUGUUUACAGUCGAAAACUACUUUCUGUAGGGAGAUAAGGUGCUAGAGGAGGCCACAAGGGUAGUUAAUGAUCCUUGUAUAGGGGGAAAACCCCGAAAUUAGGGUUUUCCCUUUACAUCCAACUCGCUGAGUCGGGCCUUCCGACUCGUCGAGUUUAAAUGCCCCUACUCGAUGAGUUGGACUCCCAACUCACCGAGUCUAUGCACCAAAAACCCUAAAUUUAACUAAAACAAAUAAUACCUGGAACAUGUGUUCAAAGUCGCCCCCACUUAAACUAGACUUCGUCCUCAAAGUCUGCUGACCCAAACAAAUCUAGGUAGUGCUCUCGCAUUUCCUCUUCCAGCUCCGAAGUCCAUUCGGAGCCCCUUCGAUGAUGCCAUUGCAACUUUAUCAGUCUUACUUCCUUAUUCCGAAGAACCUUGGUCUUCAUAUCAAGGAUCGCAAUGGGCUUCUCGAUAUAGUUCAGGCUCUCAUCCACUUGAAUAUCGCCCAAUGAAAUAACUACGGACUCGCCAAUGACACACUUCUGAAGAUGUGACACGUGGAAGGUAUUGUGAAUCUGACUAAGCUCCUCUCACAGAUCCAAGCGAUAUGCCACCUUGCCCACCCGGGCCGUGAUCCUGAACAGGCCUAUGAACCGAGGCCCCAGCUUGCCCCUCUUGUACCACCCAUAAAAUUAGUGCUAAUCUAAAAAUUUUAAAUCAUUUAAAAUCAUUCAAUUAUUACUAUUAGUUUUCAAAAUAGUUUAAACAUCAGAGUUCCCAAAAAUCAUAAUCAUCGAUAGAGGAAGUGUACGGUCACACCUUCGCUUCCCUGCGGUCAUCCGCUGAACUUGAAACAAUAAACUAAAACUGUAAGACCGAAAACUUAGUGAGUUACUGUCACAACUGGCAUUUUGCUAGGAAAUUCUAUUCCCAUAUAAACAUCAUCCAUUGUAAAAGGCUAUACUUACUAAACUCUAUUCUCAUUCAAAUACAUCUCAUAUGUUCAACUAAGGGAUGGAAACCCUAGAAAUCCCGACUCAAAUUCAUUAUGGACUAGGAUUCUUUUAUUGGGCCUAAGGGACCAAUAAGUCAUCAACUCAUCAAUCUAUAACAUUUUGGGCCAUUUGGGCCUAGAAUGAUUCAUUCUACCUCUAAAUGGGCCUUAUUGGUCCAUAACAACUCCAAUUAACCUUAAUGGACUUUAGAACCCAUUCUUUUAUACUAUUGGGCCGUGAGAUACCCUAAAGGCCCAAUGGGUCGAAAGAUGUUAUGAUUAGGCUCCAAAAAUCCUAACUAAAGUUUAAUGGGCUCAAGCUAUUCCAAUUCCUAUCUUAUUGGCCCAAAAUUUCGGCCCAACACCAUUUAACAAAAAAAAGGAAAACAAAAUGAAAUAGGGGUUGACUUUUGGAUGUGCCACCUCAAUAUUGCAUGGUGGUCAUCCAUGCCAAAUACCCACCAUGCAAACUUAUCAAAUAUCUCUAUUAUAUUCUCUCUAUUCACGGCCAAACACUCAUCCCACCAUCCUCAUUUUUCUUUUAAACACUCUCAUACACUCUCAAGAACAUCCUUUCCUUCCACCCAAAAUUUCGAAGAUCUAGGGUGUUUUCAAGAGAAUUCUUCACCAAAAUCAUCAUCCUUGGUAAGUUUUUGCUUAGAUCCAUGGUCUAGUCUCUUGAUUACUUCAAAAAUCUCCUCUUAACUCAUGAAAUUUCGUGAUCUUGCAUCUUGGAACCCAUCUAAGCUCAAAAACCUCUCAAGAAGCUUGCUAGGGCCAAGAAUCACAUCAUCUUCUUCCAUUUCUUCUUCAAACCAAGAACAACAAAGCAAGGUGAGUUCAUACCCCCUUGUUUUCGGUUUUUACUUGUUUUUGGGGGAGAAUACAANCAAGGUGAGUUCAUACCCCUUGUUUUCUGUUUUUAUAUGAUUUUUGGGGGAGAAUACAAGUUGAUUUGUGUAGAUCUAUGUGUAUAUGCAUGACUAUGUGUGUUUUCCAUGAAUUAUUUGGUGAUUAUGUGUUGAUUUCUUCACUAAUCUAAAAAUAUGUUAAGAAACUUGAAGUUUAUCACUAGGAUCUUCAUAUGAAUCUUGAGAAAAGUAUGUUUUAUCACAAGUAUUACAUGUAAACAUGUAGAUCUGGGAUUUGUAUACUUGAUAUAGCAAAAAUAAGUGUUGUGUUCAAAGAUCUAUAAACUAAACUCACAAAACAGCCCUUGACAGAAAACUUUUGGUCCAAUCUCGGACUGUUUUGACCAUCCAAAUGGAAGUAUUUUUCAAAAAUGUUUUACAUGGAUAAAGUUCAGAUUUAUACCUUUAAAAUGACUACUCUCACGUUUUCAUACGAUUUUUCUACAAUUUUUGGCGAAUUUUACAAAACUGCCUAUCAUAUUUGAAAUAAUUUCGGACCAACCUGUGAAGAUGAGUAAUUUCACACUAGUUUGAAGCCAUCAAAAAUUAUGAGAAAAAUUGUGAACAAAGUAGACAAAAUUUCCAAACUUCCAAAAUUUACGGAUCCAGAUUUCGACUUACGAUGAAUUUUCUACAAAUUUUCUAAAAACUAGUUCGGAAAAGCCAAAAACCAGAAAAAUAUGUAUUUUCACAAAACCAAGCCAAAAAUGAUAUUUUUGACAAAAAUGGGUUUAAAAUGCUAUUUUUAUCACAAAGUAGUCAUCAACACAAGUUUUUAACAAAAUUGGAGAUUAAAGUGUUAUUCUUACAAAAAUUGGGCCUUAAUUGUAAAUUUUUGGCUUAUUGGGCCAAGAAUGUCAUUUUUACAAAAAGUGGGCUUUAGAUAUCAAUUAUGUAAAUAAUCAAGCUAAAAUAAACAAAACAAUAACAAACGGGUUAAAAACGACAUUCAUAUCCUUAUUGGGCCUGGAAAUAAUAUACAUGUUUAGUGGGCCUUAGUGUCCUUUUACAUGUAUAUUGGGCUCGAGAUAGGUAUUCAUAUCCUUAUUGGGCCUGGAAAUAAUAUACUUGUUUAGUGGGCCUUAGUGUCCUUUUACAUGUAUAUUGGGCUUAGGAUAGACAUUCACAUUCCUUUUGAGCCUGGAAAUAAUAGACACGUAUAGUGGGCCUUAGUGGUCCACUUACAUGUUUAUUGGGCCUAGGAAUGGGUUUUAUAUGCGUUAUUCUUUUUAUGCUAUUUUAGUGGAUACUAUUUGCAUGCUAUUUGGGCCUAUAAAUACCUUACAUGUGAAAUGGGCCUUAGUUGUCCUUUCACAUAUAUUUUGGGCCCAUGUUAUAUAAUCUCAUUCCCUUUAGGUCUUGAAAUGAUUUACAUGUUUAGUGAUGCCUUAGUGGUUCACUUACAUGGAUCAUUGGACCUAGAAUGAGUUUAUACAUUUUUCUUCGCGUAAAUUCGAUUAAGGAUCUAGCGAGUUUUUAUCGGUUGGCACCUAUUAAGUGUACGAUCGUAGCCUGUAGUUAUAACCAGAGUCUCUUGAAGGGAGAGCGGGGAUUUGUGUAUAGAUCUAUACGGGGAUGACACCCCACACCUGAGCUGUUCGCUACAGUUAGACUAACUCAGUCUAGGGUGACAAAAACCUUAUUCUAUAUUCCGUCGGCGUCCAACGAUGCCAAGACAGGUGAAAUUGUCAUAAAUUAGUAUGGUUAUGAUGGCUCGCUUAGAGGAAUUAACGUUAUGAAGUUUACGGAAGACCUUUCUAUAUAGGCAACAUCGGGUUGUCUAGGAACAUUCUCGUUACAUGCUCUUACAUUCUCUCUCUACAAUCUAUUUACCUUUUUAGUCAGAUAACAAUAACAUACAUGCAUUAAUACAAGAUCUAACACAAACACACUAAACAGUUUUCAGAAAAUAUCGGAUUUUCUGGUGGUUUUCAAAGUUAUACAAAUCAUUUUCACAAACAUGCUUAUGAACUCACCAACAUUUUUAUGUUGACCAUUUUCAAAAUAACUUGUAUUCUCAGGAAAUCGUUGAAGCGGGAUGAACAAAACAAACUAAUGGAUAUUGUGUUAUAUUUUGAUUCAUCAUACUCUUACUAUCUUGGCAUGUAAUAUUCAAAUAGAAUACUCGAUGUAAACAAUGAAUGUUGUAAUAUUACAUGUGUGAUGAUGAUGAUGUUAUGUUUCAAUUAUAUUCACUGUAAUGAUAUUUCAAGAUGAAGUCACGCACAAGCCCCCGGACGUUUCCACCGUCUGGUUCGGGGGUGUGACAGAUUGGUAUCAGAGCAUUGUUUAUAGUGAACUAGCAUAUCUAAUCAUACAUGAUAUGCAACUAUAAAUAAAAUGGGACUAAACAACUCUGAACAUAAUAAUUUCAAAUACAUACCUUUGUGUGCAUUUUAGAAUGAUAACACAACAAGAAUAGUAAAAGUCUUUGGAGGAUUUGAACAUCACUAUUAAACUCGGACAGUUAUGUAGUCGUAUUGGGGGUGAAUGUAACCGGAUCAACUACAUUCAUUCAAAAUACGACCAACAUGUGUUCGGGAGUAAUUGUGAUGGGCAAUGAAUCAAAAACUUACCAUUUAAUUAUCCAAAGAGCUUAUAGAGCCAAACCUAAACAAAAUUAAAUUACUAUAGGAGUAAUUGGUAUGCUAAUUGUUUCUAGUAUUUAUACCCCCUUCGUGCAAUACACUAUAGACGAGUAUCGUUAGCCAGGAAACCCCUAUCUCCCUAGUCAGGGAAUAGUAGGGUGGCUCGACUCAGAGGAGGAACCACAGGAGGAACACGAAGUAGAACUUGCAGGUGAACCCGCCGAGUCAAUAGUGGACCUCGAAGAGGAAGAGCCAGAGGGCAAUGAUGAUGAUGAAUCAGAUACAAAAUCUGAUGACAUCAAUCCUCCAUGUAAAGCCAGAGUACCGACAUAUCGUGUGGGUCCCGGUGGCCCCAUGCCCCUUAGGCACAUGAUAUUUAGAGAUAGAGUCACCAGCAGGGGAUACGACCACACUACGGUAGGAACUGAGGUCUCUUCGAUCUUAGUCGUAGAGGACCAGCUGACCGGGCCCUCCCAGUCAUGGUCCGGAGCACCUGAGGUAUGGAUAGCCAAGCUCAGGGACACCCCAAAUCAUCCGGAACAAAUGCGGUUUGCUAUUGAGAGAGACAAGAGACAAACAAAGGAAGUGAACGGAGACUCCCGAGCAAGACAGUUAGUGUGAGAAGUAAGACUACAAGAUACCGAACAACAAGUAGCUCAUCUCCGAGGAGCAUCCACUUCAUCAGCACCACCACCAGACACUUCCUGCCACAAUUAGGAUCAGCCUUUUCUACUUCCCCCUACUAUUCGACAUGACUCUCUUUCAUGUACUAAGAUAGUACUUACCACUGGAACAAUUAUGUGCUAUCUUUAUUUCAUAUUACCACAUAGACUCAAUUAUAUGCACAAGCGAACCCUCAAAACCGCUAGAUACUUAAGGGUCUCGAAACCAAAACAACCUAUAUACUCUAAGGAUAGACGUGACGAUCGUGCCAAAUCUGUGAUUACCUACUACCACAAAUACAUCAUAGGGAUGUAGAUGGAAGCAGUAAGAAUUAUACAACAAGAUGCAAAAUUUAUAGAGUACAACUAGGAAUGACGAUCAUUACUUACGAUCUGGAUUAUCAACGUGCAUCAGGAAAAUGCCAUCCCGCAAGAAUAACAAGCGCACCUGCGAGACACCGUUCCUGCAGAUGAACUCUGCUACAUUCCAAGCUGCUGUAACGGCGACAGUAACCGUUGCGAUGGCGCAAAUCAAUGCAAACAACCCCAAUGGAGGCGGGAAUAACAUUGACAACUCCAUCCAAAGGAACGAACAUGGAAACCAACAAGUGACAACCAAUCAAGGAACUCCAAACCCCAAGCUUAAGAGCAGGAAGCUGAGGUCUGGAAGUAAGAAAAAGGGACAACCCACUCAAGGGUUCUCAAGGAAGCAACAUGUUGUUGCUGUUCAUGCGACCAUGACCCCUAUUACACCAACAACCAGGAGACCAUAUGUUGGAAGCCUUCCAAAAUGCAACCAGUGCAAAUUCCAUCAUAACGGAGCCUGCCGGGAGAUGUAUUGUACGAAAUGCAACCGAAAGAAUCACACCGCCAAAUUCUGUAGAACUUAUCCAUGCCAAAAUCGCCAGCCAAACAAAAACGACAACAGUCGCAACAACCCUAACAACAACACCAAUGAUGAGACCAGUCACACCCGCUAUGGGUAUGGAGGAACCGGUCACUUCAGGCGCAAUUGCCCAAGGAUAACAAUCAAGGAGCAGAAGGAUCGGAAAUGGUCCUGACCUUGGGUCAAGGCGAAGCAGUCCAAGACCCAACGAUUGUUAUUGGUACGUUCCCACUUAACAACUCUUUCGNNNNNNNNNNNNNNNNNNNNNNNNNNNNNNNNNNNNNNNNNNNNNNNNNNNNNNNNNNNNNNNNNNNNNNNNNNNNNNNNNNNNNNNNNNNNNNNNNNNNNNNNNNNNNNNNNNNNNNNNNNNNNNNNNNNNNNNNNNNNNNNNNNNNNNNNNNNNNNNNNUAAAUUUAAUGCCAGUAAAUAUUAGGAGUUUUAAUGUGAUAAUUGUCAUGGUUGGGUUAAGCCCCCACCGUGCUGAUACUAUGUGUCGCGAGAGGGCCGUUUGCCUUCACCUUCCUAAUCACGAAACUCUGAUAACCCAUGGUGAUAAACCUAGCGUCAAUCCUCGUCCUAUCUCGUGCAUCAAGGCACAGAAGUGCCUGCACCAGAAGAACUACGUUUUCCUUGCUCAAGUUGUGGACAAGACCAAGGAAGAAGUAAGCAUACAAGGUAUUCAGGUAGCAUGUGAUUUUACGAUUGUAUUUCCUGAAGAACUUCCGGGAAUACCUCCAGAAAGACAGGUAGAAUUUCAAAUUGACCUAAUGCCGGGAACCACAUCAAUUGCCAAUUCGCCCUAUAGGUUGACUCCCGCCGAAAAUUCACAAGUUAUCCAGUCAAUUGAGAAGAAUUGUUGCGCAAAGGAUCCAUCGGACCAAGCUUCUCACCCUGGAGAGCUCCCGUCUUGCUCUUCAAGAAGACGGAUCCUUCCGAAGGUACAUCAAUUUUAGGAAAUUGAAUAAACUCCCUAUCAAAAAUCAAUACCCACUUCCUCGGACUGACGAUCUAUUUGGCCAGCUCCAAGGAGCUAGUUAUAACCAGAGUCUCUUGAAGGGAGAGCGGGGAUUUGUGUAUAGAUCUAUACGGGGAUGACACCCCACACCUGAGCUGUUCGCUACAGUUAGACUAACUCAGUCUAGGGUGACAAAAACCUUAUUCUAUAUUCCGUCGGCGUCCAACGAUGCCAAGACAGGUGAAAUUGUCAUAAAUUAGUAUGGUUAUGAUGGCUCGCUUAGAGGAAUUAACGUUAUGAAGUUUACGGAAGACCUUUCUAUAUAGGCAACAUCGGGUUGUCUAGGAACAUUCUCGUUACAUGCUCUUACAUUCUCUCUCUACAAUCUAUUUACCUUUUUAGUCAGAUAACAAUAACAUACAUGCAUUAAUACAAGAUCUAACACAAACACACUAAACAGUUUUCAGAAAAUAUCGGAUUUUCUGGUGGUUUUCAAAGUUAUACAAAUCAUUUUCACAAACAUGCUUAUGAACUCACCAACAUUUUUAUGUUGACCAUUUUCAAAAUAACUUGUAUUCUCAGGAAAUCGUUGAAGCGGGAUGAACAAAACAAACUAAUGGAUAUUGUGUUAUAUUUUGAUUCAUCAUACUCUUACUAUCUUGGCAUGUAAUAUUCAAAUAGAAUACUCGAUGUAAACAAUGAAUGUUGUAAUAUUACAUGUGUGAUGAUGAUGAUGUUAUGUUUCAAUUAUAUUCACUGUAAUGAUAUUUCAAGAUGAAGUCACGCACAAGCCCCCGGACGUUUCCGUCGUCUGGUUCGGUGGUGUGACAGUUACCCCAAAAUACCAAUACCACACAGAUAACCAUAUCAUGUAAACAUAUAAGAAACAGAACAACCAUGCAUCUCGAGUCUACAGUGUGAUUAGGUUGCCCGCACUGGGCCUUCAGUUCACUUGAAAUCAACGAAGCUAUACAUAAAACAAUAAAAUUUAAAAUGGAUGAAAUGUACGAAAGUAUAAACUCAACAGUUUCCCAACAUCAAUAUUUCAUUUAAACAUGAAACAGUUGGUUUACAUCAAACUAUUUACAAAAGAAACCUCACUACAAUCACACUCAACUCUCUAAUGAUCAUUCAAGAACAAAAUGAUACAAGAUCUAAAGAAAAUGAUCUUAAAACCCUAAUAGAAAGCUUUAAAUUGGAGGAACUCUGCGAGUAAGAAAACAACAAGAAUAAUAUCUGCCCUAAAUGAACUGCAACUUCAACAUUAAAUACAUUGGGGCAUAAAACCAGAUUCGGGUUAAGCAACCCGCGUAUUCAUCCUUACAUGCAUUAUCAAAAUAUACCACAACACCCCUCUACAACCAAUAAAUAACAUAAUGUGACCAAAAUAACAAAAUACCUCAAAUGAUAAGUUUGCAACUAAUAACACUUUUUAAGACCCCCUCUCAAACUUAUCAUUUGAAGACAUACUCAUUUUCCAGAAAAAAAGUUUAAAAGUCCAAGUCUUUUUGAGAAGAAUUCAUGUUGAAAAGAAGUUAAUGAUUUAGUUAAAAUAUCUGCAUUUUGAUUAGAAGAAUCAAUCUUAACCAACUUCAAAAUACCACUUUCAAUUUUUUCUCUCACAAAAUAAACAUCUAUUUCAAGAUGUUUUGUCUUCUCAUGAAAUACAGGAUUUAAAGCUAAUUUAAUAGCAGAUUCAUUAUCAUAAAACAAUUUAACAGGAGUUAAGUUUUUAAAACCAAGAUCAUUUAAAGCUUUUAAAACCCACAACACUUCACAUGUUACAGAACCCAAAGCACGAUAUUCAGAUUCAAUUGAGGAUCUGGAUACUGUGAUUUGUUUCUUACUCUUCCAAGAAAUAAGUGAACUACCUAAAUAUACCAAAUAUCCAGACACAGACCUUCUAGUUGAGAAACACUUAGCCCAAUCAGCAUCCACAUAACCAAUAACAUCAAAAACAUUAGAUUUAGAAAAUACCACACCUUUUCCAGGACAUUCUUUUAAGUAUCUUGAUAAUCUGAAAGCAACAUUUAGAUGUGAUUUCCUGGGCUUAUGCAUAAAUUGACUUAACAGUUGAACAACAUAACUAAUAUUAGGUCUAGUAACAGUUAAAUAAAUCAGUUUCCCUAUAAGUUUUUGAAAUUCAGUUAUAUUACUUACAAGAUCUGAAUUAUCAUCACAAUCUCUAUUAAACACAAAAUUAACUUCCAAAGGAGUUUUAAUAGGCUUACAGCCCAGCAUACCAAACUCAUGUAAUAAUUCUAAACAAUACUUCCUUUGAUUUAGGCAAACACCACUACCAGUAGAUAAAACUUCAAUUCCCAAAAAAUACUUCAAUAAACCUAAAUCUUUUAUUCUAAAUUGUGAUUUAAAAAACAAUUUAACAUUUUCAAUUUCUACACUGCUAUUAUUAGUUAGAAUUUUAUCAUCUACGUACACAAGUAAAAUGACAAUGGUGUUAUUUUUAAUUCGAACAAAUAAAGAAUAAUCAUUUAUGCUUUGAACAAAACCAAAACUUGACAGAGAUGAACACAAUUUUUCAUUCCACUUUCGUGGAGCCUGCUUUAACCCAUACAAAGACUUAACAAGCUUACACGCUCUACUAUCAUUUUUAGUAUGAUAACCUUCAGGCAAAGUCAUAUAAACAUCUUCAAUUAAAUCACCAUAUAAAAAAGCAUUAUUAACAUCUAAUUGAUAGAGAGGCCAAGAAUUAUUAACAGCCACACAAAUAACAAUUCUAACAGUAACAGUCUUUGCAACAGGAGAAAAAGUUUCUUUGUAAUCAAUCCCUUCUCUUUGAUUAUAACCUUUAGCAAUUAGUCUAGCUUUAUAUCUCUCAACCUCACCAUUUGAUUUGUACUUAAUUUUAUAAAUCCAAUGACAACCAAUGGGUUUUCUGUCUUUGGGAAGCUCAACAAUAUCCCAAGUAUGGUUUCUAUAUAAGGCUUCCAUCUCCCCAUUCAUGGCUUUGAUCCAGUUUGGAUCAGUAGAAGCUUCUGAAUAAGUACUAGGUUCAAAUGUUUUAUUAAUAUUAGACACAAAACAUUUACUAUCACUUGUUAACAAAGAAUAAUUCACAGAUUUUUCUAAUCAUGUGAGAACUUUCCACAACAAAGUCAUUAAAUCUUGUUGGUAAAUGAACAUUUCUACCAGAUUGAGUAACACCUAAUAAGUGAUCAUCAGAAGGAAUAUUUUGUUCUAAAAUACUAUCGUCAGCCAAAGUUGAUGAACUAGGAACAUCCACAACAUUCUGUUGCACACGUGCCUUGUCACUCUGGUUGCUGACCUCAUCAUUAGGGGUCUCAGCCAGGUUAUGAACUGCUCUAGUACCUUCAGACUGAAGGGUUAUUCCUAAGUCACCCAAACUAUUGUUUUCUUGAAGAGAACUAGAUAACUGAGGCUCAUCAUAGGAAAAUGGGUCACUUGGAUGAUACAAACUAUUAGUUCUGUCACUAACCAAAGGUUUAAGCUUGAACAGAAAUACAGUUUCAUAAGAUUUGACAUCCCUGGAAACAAAGACAAAAUUUGAAUCAAGACUUAAAACUUUAUAACCCUUUUGUUCCAAAGAAUAACCAAGUAAGACACAUUUUUUAGCACGUUCAGAAAAUUUUUCAGGAUUAUUUAGUUUUGUUGCAAAACAAAGACAACCAAAAACACGAAGUUUAUCAAAACUAGGAACAGAUUUAUAAACAAGUUUAUAAGGAGAGGCUCCAUUUAAUACAGAAGUGGGAGUUCUAUUAAUCAAAAAAACUGCUGUUAAAAUAGAAUCACCCCAAAAAGUCAAUGGCAGUCCUGACUGAAACAUUAGAGACCUAGCUACAUUUAGAAUAUGUCUAUGUUUUCUUUCAACCACCCCAUUUUGUUGAGGUGUAUGAACACAAGAAGUUUGAUUAAUAACACCUCUAUUUUCAAAAAAAACUUUUCAUGUUAUGAUUCAAAAACUCAGUCCCAUUAUCGGACCUAACCUUUUUAAUAUUAACUUCAAACUGAUUUAACAAAAUAUUAAAGAAUGUAGUAACACAAGAAAAUACUUCACUUUUAGACUUAAGCAAGUAAAUCCAAGUUGCCCUAGUGAAAUCAUCCAUUAUAGUAAGAAAGAACUUAUAACCUUUUGAAGUGAUCACUCUAUAGGGACCCCACACAUCUAGAUGAAUAAGUUCACCUAAACAAGAAGUAACAUGCUGACUAAUUGGAAAGGAACUCCUUGUUUGUUUAGCUUUAUGGCAAACAUCACAUGGAGGUAAGUACUCAUUUCCAAUUUAAGAUGAGUUUUUAAUGAAUUCAGAGCUUGAUCAGGAGGAUGACCAAGUCUACUAUGCCAUGUAAAUUUAGAAACAUAACAUACACCAAAAUUAGAGCUAAAGGAAUUACCAGAAGGUACACUAUCAACAUAAUAGAGUCCUCCAGAUUCACUACCAUUCCCCACCAUCUCCUUUGAGUGUAAAUCUUGAAUUUUACAACUAUGUUCAUUAAACACAACCUCACACUUAUUAUCUUUACAAACCUUGUGAACUGACAUUAGAUUUACAUUAAACUUAGGAACAACAAACACAUCAAAAAGAGUUAAGGAGUUUGAAAUAUUUAAGUUUCCAAUUUUUUCUAUUUAGCACAAGUUCCAUUAGGAUGAAUAACAAGAAGAUUAAGCUUAGAUACAUCCACUGUAUCAUGCAAGAGAGAUUCAGAUGCUAUCAUAUGUUGACUAGCACCAGAAUCAAGAAUCCAUUUAUUACCAUUAUAAGAUGAAUUACAAACAUUAAACAAGCAAGUACCUGUCAUAUUAGAACUGACAUAUGCUUCCUCAUUUGACUUUCUUUCACCUAUCAGACUAAGAAACUUGGCAUAUUGAUCCUUAGUAAGUUGAUGAAAUUCAGACUCUCCAGGAUCAGAUGAUACAGGAGUAACAACAAAUGAAUUUGCAUUAAAACUUUUAGCUUGACUAUUUUGAUUAACAUCACUCCUGGGUUUAUAAUCCUUUGGGUACCCAAUUAGCUUAUAGCAUUUUUCAAUUGUAUAUCCUUUUAAUCCACAAUUCUUACACUGAAUAGCUGAACCUUCACUUUUAUUACUAGAAUUACCAGAAAAUUUAUUAUUGAACUUACUAUUAAAAGCACUAGGUUGAUUCUUGGGACCAGAUUGAGAGUCAUUAGAAAGGGAUCCAUUCCUUUGAAGAGACUCUUCACGAGAUAUGAUUGAAAAAGCAGUUUUAACAUUAGGAAGUGGAUCCAUAAGCAAUAUAUGACUCUUAACUUGGUUAUAAGAGUCAUCCAAACCACUAAGAAAUUGCAUGAGUUUCAUUAAUUUAGAGUGAUCAUUUAGUUUAAAAACAGCCUCACAUGUACAUUCUGUAAGACUGAUUAAGCCAUCAAACUCCUUACACAAGGCAUCGAGUUUAUUAAAGUAAUCAGAAACAGAUAUACCACUUUGUUUUAAAGAAUUAAUUCUUUGAUGAACAUUAAAAACUACAUAUCCAUCAGCUUUAUUAUAAGUUUCAAAUAAAUUUUCCCAAAUUUCUUGAGCAUUAUCAGAAUAAGCAUGACUAGCAUAUAUUGAAUCACUAAUAUAAGACAACAACCAAGAACACACAACAACAUUUUCCCUUUCCCAUUUUGAUUCUUUAUGUUUUUCAACUUUAUCCUUUUUAAAAGUGCCAUCAACAAACCCUAGUUUGUUUCUAGCCUUAAGGGCUCUAGACAUAGAACUCCUCCAAAUACGAAAAUUUUCAUUUCCAGUUAGUUUCACAGUAACAUUAGUUGUAGUUGCAUUAUCAGAAGGUUGGACAUAGAGAGGAUCAUCAAAAUUAAUUGAAUCAUCCUUUCUACUUCCUCCUGGAGGAUCAGUUGAACCAACCAUACAAAAGGAAGGAACAACAAGUCACAAACAAAGCUCAAGAGAGAACAACAAUAAGUAAACAACAGAGUAAACAGCUAGUCAGUCAAGAACAACCAAACAACAGACUCAUGUAUUGACAUAAAGUCCAGAUGGUCACCACGUUUGUCGGGGCCCAAGACAAUCAAUACAGAGUCAACAAAACAAUAAGAACAAAACAAAUAAGAAUAACUGGUGUACACAAGACAACCAGGAUCUCCCAAUCACAGAUAUGAAAAAGAGUGAAAAAAAGGAACAAGAAACCCCUCACAAUGCUAUUAAGACGAAGCAAUCAAGGGACCGACUCUAUCUGUCCGUUCUCUACUUAGGAUUUAUCGGUGAUGAACUCCGACCCCUAGAGAGUUAUUUCAGACAAAUAGAUUAAUCGACUGAAGUUCAGCGGAUUCCAGUUCAACAAUUGUUCAAAGACCGAUUUUGUUUAUGCUUUGUUUAAAAAUCAGAGUAACAUUUUAAAUAAAAGUGUUGCGGAAUUUGUCCCAAAACAAAAUAUGAUAAAGUUUUAUCAAAAGCAUUUCCAAAGGAAUAUAUUUCAUUAAAAGACUCGGGAUGUCAUGUUCGAUACAGAUCAAAAGCAUAAAUAGUACAAUAUAAGCUUUACUACAUUAUUUCAUAUCUACAGGCCUAUAUCCGUAAUCCCUCAUCCAAGACAUCUCAUCUAUGCUCAUGCGUCACUACCUGUAAUACAAGAAACUGAGUGGGUCAGGCUUGGGAGCCUGGUGAGCACAUAGGGUUUUCAACCCACAAUAAAUAAGUUUAUUAAUUUCAUCAAUCAACGAUAACCCGAUUACCCGUUCCCGUUCUCCUCACAUUACGUCCCUAAACACCUAUUAUAAGGGACCUAUCCUAAGGAUCAUCAUCGGGAUGGACACUACUGCUAAGGGGAUUCCUCAGCAAUAAAUGUCCUAAAGGCAACCAUGUGGGGGAUGGAGUACACCGGUGAACACAUCGUUCACAAACACCUACAGGUUGCGAGCGCUGCUAGUGUUCCACUGGACUGUCUAGAAGAGUCCGUGGUCGUCAUCCAUACUCCGCUAGAUGACAGAAUCAACAACAUCAACAUCGAGGCCUCUCAUCAUUUUAUCACACAUAACCUAUUAAAUCUACCCAUGUUUUAUCCCAACAUUUUCGUAGAUAUAAAAUACAUAUACAGUUUAAAUCAUGUAUAACAAUGUUCAUCCAGCAUAGAUAGCAAGUAUUCAGAUAAUAUGCUCACAUAGCACGCAAUUUAUAUAAAAUACUUCAUAUCUAUGUGUAAGCUGAAAGUAACUAUGCACUCACUUGAAAGGUGGUGACUCAGCACUCGGACAACGCUUCGAUACUCUUAAAACAAUUUUCCUUCGAUAAAACCUAGUAUCAAUACCACUAAAGUUUAAUCUAACGAUAACCGCGACAAAUUAAUAGUCUGACUAUUAUUAUUAUUAUAUAAGUGUUAAAUAACACUCAAUAUAACUCAUAAUAAUAGCCCAAAUAAUUAUUUCAAGGACCUAAUAACAUUCCUAUAAUUAUUUGAAAGCUAUAUUAAAAAUUGCAUAAGCGUAUCUCACUUACAACGGAUUUUAAAGAAAACCGGAACUUUAUUUGGAGCAGCGUUUCGAAACCGAAAGACCCUUUUUCUCGGGACUCCGGGAGCCUAGGGUCUUCCCUCGGGUGCUAAGGGUUUUAUCUAGGGCUUAGGAUGGUUUAGAACUCUUAGAGAGAGAAAUAUUGUAGAGAUAGAAUGAGAAAAUGUGAGAAAAAUCCGGAGACCCUCGCCCCCUUUUAUAGCCUGCGAGCCUCGGACGUAUGCUGGGCGUAGUCAUCGGAUAAAGGUUGCCAGCCGAAGCCAACUGUCUUGCACUCGGAGCGGAGAAGAGCGAGGGUACGUGGGGCGUAGGCGAAGCGACGUGUCGCAAAUCCGAAGCGAAGCGUGAUCAGCAAGCGACGACCCUGAUUGAGCCAUGUCAUCACCCUCGCAACAGAUUUCGCAAAUUCAUUUUCCGACUUCUAAAAAUCAUAACUUUCGCAUACAAGCUCCAUUUUCGACGUUCUUUAUAUCCACGCGAAGGUGGGAAUGUACUUUACAACUUUCGCUUAGACUCUGUUGGCUAAUUUUGAAUCGAUUUUAAAUUUUAUAUUAUUAACAGGCCGGGACAGGAUUGGUCCGUUAAAUCCUCAUAACUUCUUCAUCCUACGUCCAUUUUCGCCCAUCUUUUUCUCGUUAUGCUACUCUUAAUGAGAUCUUCGAUUCUCGUUUAGGUCGUGUCGGCUAAAAAUCACUCGAUCUAAUAUUCGAAUUUCGGGCUAUACACUGCUAAGCCGAAACUUCGAAAAAUCAUAACUUCUUCAUACGAAGUCAGAUUUGGGCGUUCUUUUCAUCGACGNCUACGACUUUAGUUUAGAUUGCUAAGGCUAUAUCUUGCUCUAUCGUAAAUUCGCUAUUUACGAUUCCCGGUAUCGUGUCGGUUCUGUUGCGAAACUUUGACGGGUCAUAACUUCUUCGUUAUAACUCGGAUUUCGGCGUUCUUUAUAUCCCCGGAAUCCUAGUUUCAACCACUACAAAUUUAUAUAAAGAUAUCAGACUUAUCUCUUACUUUAAUUUUGACGCUUAUUUUUAUUCUUUAUUAAUUAUACAUUUAUAAUUAAAUAAUAAACACAUAAAUACACACAAUUCACAUAAUACUCAAAUAUUUUAUCUUUAUUACUUCAAAAAGAGUUACAAUAGUUGACCUAGACUAUUACAUCGUCAAAAAUACUUAGCCCUGAAACCCGGGCGUUACAAGUGACCCUGCAAGAAACCACAGAAACACUCACAGUACCAGGACCAUAAAAAACAAAUAUAAGAUCCGCUAAAAGAAAACCCUAAAUCGAAACAAACAACUGAAACAAAUCAGUUUUAGUAAGAGAUCCAAAAGAGUUAUAAAACCUUUUAGAUCUAUGACAAUAGGUAAAGAAGAAAAUAGAAUAAAGGAUUAGAAACAACCUUUUAUGACAUCUUCAGAAGAUAAAAAACCUCCGAUGAACACCGACGAAGACGGCGAUGUUUGAUGAACACCAACGACGAAGACGACGAACCCUAACGCUUUGAUACCAUGUACGAAAGUAUAAACUCAACAGUUUCCCAUCAUCAACAUUUCAUUUAAACAUGAAACAGUUGGUUUACAUCAAACUAUUUAUAAAAGAAACCUCACUACAAUCACACUCAACUCUCUAAUGAUCAUUCAAAAACAAACUGAUACAAGAUCUAAAGAAAAUGAUCUUAAAACCCUAAUAGAAAGCCCUAAAUUGGAGAGAACUCUGCGAGUGAGAAAACAACAAGAAUAAUAUCUGCCCUAAAUUAACUGCAACUUCAACAUUAAAUACAUCAGGGCAUAAAACCGGAUUCGAGUUAAGCAACCUGCGUAUUCAUCCUUACCUGCAUUAUCAAAAUAUACCACAACACCCCUCUACAACCAAUAAAUAACAGAAUAUGACCAAAAUAACAAAAUACCUCAAAUGAUAAGUUUGCAACUAAUAACACCUUUUAACGUGAAAUCAAGAAUGAGCUUUUAGAACAUAUAAUUACGUAACAAUUACCAAUUAUUUCAAAAAACAAUAAAUACUUCAAUAUAAAAUCUAUCAUUGUAUUUCUUAAUCACAGCAAUGCAUAUGUAUUGGGCUUUCUUAAUUUCAAUAAGAUAGAGUUUUGAAUAUUAUAAUUUAAUAAAUAAAUACUUUAAAGGUAACACUAUAUACAAUUUAAACUAAUUACUCAAUACAACUCAAGAGUUUUUUAAAAUUAUGGUUAUUAAAUGAUAUUUAUGAUGUAUAUAUGGUUCACAAACAUAUGGUGAAAACCUAUCUUUUAAAGAUUUAACCACUCAAAUAUUUUAUAACUUAUAUAUGUUUUAUAACUUAUAUAUUAUAUUUAAUAAUCACUUAAUGUAAGUUUAGUAUAAAUAAUUUAAUCUCCUCAAAGGUUAUAUUAAAUUUUUGCGCAAAGCACGUAUACGUCUAGUAUGAAAAAUAAUAUUAACGGACAUCCAAAUUAAGGGUGGGUGACUCCUGAUUCACCAAAAGGCCAUCUAAUGUUGUCCGAGCCGCCUCUUUCUAUUCCUGUUGGUUUGGUUUUCUGACCUUUCUUCACCCAAUCCAAACCAAAAUGACAAAACACGAGAUGUGAUGAGGAGAUUUAUAUUAUAUAUAUACUAGUCCAUGGUUUCCUUCAUUGUAUAUAUAUACACACACACGUAUAUAUAAGUGUUGAUUAAGGCAACCUUGUGUGUGUCUCACUUUUCUCAGGCAUACACAAGCAACUGGGAAACGGAUCAACGACUAAAGCCAAGCUUCUCCCAACCAAAUAUAUGGCGACCUCAGUCGAAAACCGCAACUUCCGCCACGAGCUUGGUGUAUCCGCCGCUGGUGCAGUGCGUUCCGAGUCACCCAUCCAUGGAUUCAACUAUCCAGCUGUUGCUAGAGAGUUUAUGACGCCUAAGAAGCUUCCCCCUGAAACUUACGAUUCUAGUGACGAUGAGGAAGACGAAGGAGACUAUCGUGAUGCCAUUAAGAAGUCCAACUCCGAGUUGGAAAGCUCCGUUUUUGACUCCAGAGAUCAAGGCACUGCGGAUCAAUGGAUCGAGCGCAACCAAUCAAUGGUUCGACUCACUGGAAAACACCCAUUCAACGCCGAGCCACCUUUGACUAAGCUCAUGCAACAUGGGUUCAUCACCCCUGCUCCUCUUCAUUACGUCCGCAACCAUGGUCCAGUUCCGAACGCCACCUGGGAGGAUUGGACGGUGGAGAUAUGCGGUUUGGUUAAACGACCUGCGCGUUUCAGCAUGACUCAGCUUGUCAACGAGUUUCCCAGCAGGGAGUUUCCGGUGUCGUUAGUCUGCGCUGGAAACCGCCGGAAAGAGCAGAAUCUGACGAAACAAACCAUAGGGUUCAACUGGGGCGCCGCCGGUAUAGCGACCUCGGUUUGGAAAGGGGUGCCAUUGGUCAGCAUCUUGAAAAGAUGUGGGAUUUAUAGCCGGAAGAAAGGCGCGCUCAGUGUGUGCUUUGAGGGGGCGGAGGAUCUACCCGGCGGAGGCGGUUCCAAAUACGGAACCAGCAUAAAGAUCGAGGUUGCAAUGGAUCCGGCGAGGGAUAUCAUUUUGGCUUACAUGCAAAACGGAGAAAAGUUGUUGCCUGAUCAUGGAUUCCCGGUGAGAAUGAUUAUUCCGGGAUGCAUCGGUGGAAGGAUGGUGAAGUGGUUGAAGCGUAUCAUAGUAACGACGCCGGAGUCGGAGAAUUAUUACCACUACAAAGACAACCGUGUGUUGCCGUCGUACGUGGAUGCGGAGUUAGCCAACUCCGAAGGUAAUUCAUACAGUAUUUUAUACACGUAUUUUUUUUUAAAACAUAUAUUACUAUUAAACUACAUCUAAUUCAUAGCUGUAUCUCAUGCGUGACUUCAACUUUCAAUCUAAGAGCAAAAGGCUAACAAUACUAAAUACUAACUGACAAUUACUAAUACUAGUUGCCAAUUUUCAGACUAGAAUAAGCCUUUUGAUUAUAGAAUCAUUGUCUGAUAUAUAUACAAUAUAUAUAAUUCAUGCAUAUCAAUGAAUCAUAAUAUUUUUGUGAUUUUGACUUUUAGUAUGAUUUGAUUUGAAUUAGGUUGGUGGUAUAAGCCAGAAUACAUCAUCAACGAGCUCAACAUAAACUCGGUGAUUACAACACCUUGUCACGAAGAGAUUUUACCGAUAAAUUCAUGGACUACUCAAAGACCUUACACCUUGAGAGGCUAUGCAUAUUCUGGUAAUAAAUUAAUGUUUUUUUAUCUCUUAAUUAUUAACAUAUAGUAGUUUAUUUUAUGUCGCAUUAAAAGAUAUUUAGUGAGAUUCCGUGUUUGAAUUAUUCAAUAAUUAGUUAAUUACCACUGGUUACGUUCGCAAAAUAAUCACAGCUACUCUUAUUGUAUAUUACUUUUUACAAAAAAUAAUAAAACAUCAACUGUUUUUUAAAGCCUCCGGUCAUCAUAUAGUAAUCUUGAUUUUUAAAUUGUUAACUUUAGUUUUUUUAUUUAAUGUUUUUUUUAAUUGAAAGAUAUUUUAAGAAUAAUAAAACUUCGCUUAAGGACACUGGAUUUAUAGAUACGGAUUAUACGGUAAAAAAAACAAGCUUCACAUGACAUGACAACUUACAAGUUUGCAAAUACCACUUGUCGUGAUAAAAACUUCAAAGGAAUAUUUUGACUUAAAUGAUCAAUUAACUAGUUGAUUAAUUAUUCUAAAGUGCUAAAGCAAUUAAUUACUAUAUAUACCUUUCAUAUUCUAUUUUGUAAUUUACAUAAACAAAACCAAGCACAUUAAUUAAAUAUCAUAAGAAAAGAUGACCAGUUAUAUUAAUUUGAAGAGUCAAACAAUAUAUUAGUCUUCAAGUGUGUUGGAUAUAGGAUUUGACUUUUAAUUAAUUAAGAGAAUUGAAUUGGGUGAUUCAUAGGAAGUGGGAAGAAAGUGAUACGUGUCGAAGUAACAAUGGAUGGAGGAGAGACAUGGAACGUUUGUACAUUGGAUCAUAAAGAGAAGCCAACAAGAUAUGCCAAAUAUUGGUGUUGGUGUUUUUGGUCGUUAGAAGUUGAAGUUUUGGACCUUCUUAGUGCCAAAGAGAUAGCAGUUCGAGCCUGGGAUGAGACCCUCAACACCCAACCAGACAAGCUCAUUUGGAAUCUAAUGGUAACCUACUUACUUUUUCAUGAUACAUUUAUAUUUCUUUUUUGGGUUUAAUGUAUUUUGCUAUAGUUAUUAAGAUAUUAGGUUUUUUUACUACUCUAAAAUCAAUUUUCCAUUCCAUAAAGUUUUACUUAAAAGUAAAAUACAUUAUUAUGUCAAUUUAGUUACCAAACUAUCACUAUAUAUUUAUUAUAGUAUUAACAAUUAUUAAUAGAUCAAUCAAUAUAAAAUAAAAAAUGAUCAAAAUAUAUCAUAUUUUUGUUAUGUUUUGUUCAAAUAUAGAAAAAUGGAGAACAAUAUGGAAAACCAAUUGACUUAUGUGAUAAAAGAAUUAUAUUAAUAAACUAAUGAAAAUUGUUGGUGUAUAUAUAAUUUUGUCUGCAGUCAAACAAAUAUCAAAAUUAUACGAACAACAUUUAUUUCAUAUUGCAAAGCUAAUUACAUUGAAUUUAUACAGGGUAUGAUGAACAACUGUUGGUUUAGAGUGAAGACCAACAUGUGUAAACCACAUAAAGGCGAAAUUGGCAUCGUCUUCGAGCACCCAACCCAACCUGGAAACCAGUCUGGUGGAUGGAUGGUGCGUGAGAAACACCUCGAGAUUUCAACAGAAUUAGCACACCCAACUCUCAAAAAGAGUGUAUCAUCUCCAUUCAUGAACACCGCAUCUUUAACCUUCACCAUGUCUGAAGUCAAGAAACACAACUCCGUUGACUCUGCAUGGAUCGUCAUCCAUGGCCACAUCUACGACUGCACUUCCUUCCUUAAAGAUCAUCCAGGUGGCAGUGACAGCAUACUCAUUAAUGCUGGAACUGAUUGCACCGAAGAGUUUGAUGCAAUUCAUUCAGACAAAGCCAAGAAACUGUUGGAGGAGUACAGAAUCGGUGAGCUCAUAACCACGGGUUACAGUUCGGAUUCUGCUGCAUCAUCACCAAAUAACUCCGUCCAUGGUGCCACCAAUUACAUCACGUCACAUUUAGCCACCAUCAAAGAAAUUACACCCACAAGAAACGUAGCCUUAAUCCCUCGUGAAAAGAUCCCUUGCAAACUCGUUUCAAAAACAUCGGUUUCUCAUGACGUGAGGCUAUUCAGGUUUGCCCUCCCAUCAUUGGAUCAUGUUCUUGGGUUACCAGUAGGGAAACAUAUAUUUGUAUAUGCCACCAUUGAUGAAAAGUUGUGCAUGAGGGCCUACACACCAACAAGCACCAUUGAUGAAGUUGGCUACUUCGAGUUGCUGGUUAAAAUCUAUUUCAAAGGUGUGGAACCCAAGUUUCCGAAUGGAGGGCUCAUGUCGCAAUAUCUAGAUUCAAUGACACUAGGUUCUUUAUUGGAGAUCAAAGGUCCAUUGGGUCACAUCGAAUACAUUGGUAGGGGGACAUUUUCAUUUCAUGGUAAACAAAAGUUUGCCAAGAAAUUAGCCAUGUUUGCAGGUGGAACGGGGAUCACACCGAUAUAUCAAGUGAUGCAGGCGAUCUUGAAGGAUCCAGAGGAUGAUACAGAGAUGUAUGUAGUGUAUGCAAAUCGAACCGAAGAUGAUAUAUUGUUGAGGGAAGAACUGGAUGCAUGGGUAUAUAAGUAUAAAGAAAGGGUGAAGGUGUGGUAUGUUGUUUCUAAGUCGAUAAGAGAAGGGUGGAAAUACAGUGAAGGGUUCAUCACCGAAGAUGUCAUGAGGGAACAUAUUCCGAAGGCUUCUGAAGAUACAUUGGCUUUGGCUUGUGGACCACCACCCAUGAUUCAGUUCGCAAUCAACCCUAAUUUAGAAAAGUUGGGUUAUGAUAUAAAGAACUCUUUGCUUGUGUUUUAGAAGAUCAUAUUGUAUUGUUAUAUUAGAUCUUGGUUAAAUUUUUAUUUCAAAUAUAAGAUAAAGGCCAUAUAUAUGUACAUACACUUGUACUUAUAAUCAUAUUUCUAUACGAGGGAGCUUAUUAAUAAAAAAUCAUAAUAAUUUUAAAGCGUCUUUUAAGUCAUCCUCUUAAAUCAAGUGUCUCCCUUUGGUUAUUCUUGAUAGUUAUUUUCAAGGAUUAAUGUCAUUAUAGCCCAACCAACUAUCAGGUUUUGUUUUAAAUAGCCCCUUAUGUUUUUUUAGCAUUUAAAGGGAAUAAAAUCCAUGUUAACCUGUUUAUUAAGGACCUAAAACCUGUUUUAAGGCACCUUCACCUUUAAUCCCAAAUCACCAUCCAAUCAUCUCCAUCCUAGAAAAACCAUUGCUCCUUCAUAUGUGUUGUUUUUCUUUUCCUAUGAAUCACAACUUAUAUAUUCAAUACAUUGAUUUCUCCAUCUCACUAAUUCAAGAUUGUGAUUAGAAAUCUUCGUGCUGUGAUUCCAUUAGAUGGAUUUAUUCACGAUUUUAGAUGUUCUUCAACACAAGUCUAUGAACUUCAAACUCCACCACCAACCAUCUCCCACGAUCAACCCACCACCAUCGUCCUCUUACUACCAAUCACCAUCAUCGUUCACCUGCAUUAGAUUUGAAAAAUGAUUUAAAUCACAAUGCAACAACCCUUACAAGAGGAGUGAUAUACACGAGAGAAGAUGUUAAAGACCCGUCAUUUUAGAUUUGAAGCAACGAACAUAUAUCGGAUUGGUGUUCUGCAUCACGAUCUGUCAUCUUCAAACCCAAUAUCUUUCCUUAUUUCCAGAUUUAGGUUGUAACGGAGCUGAGGAAAUUCAGAUGUUCUAGAAACUGAUGGGUUACAUUUCAAGCAAAAUUGAAGAGGUUAACUCCAUAUUCUCUAUCAAUUUUAGGACUUCUAACAUGUCUUCUUUGCAGAUCAAUUUGAGAACAUAACAAACUACAAAGAUCACUAUAAAGGAACUAGGUCUGAGAUAUGGGAGGAGACAAGAGGCAAAUUACAUGCUUUUGUUGUACAUGCAGGGACAUGUAGCACUCUGGGUAGUGUUUCUUGAUUUUUAAAAGAAAAUGAUCCAAUGGUAAAUUGUUAUCUUGUGGAUCCUCCUAGUUCUGAUUUGUUUAACAAAGUUACAUAAGAAGUGAUGUACACAAGAGAAGAGGUUAAAGAACCCAUUUGAAAUUGUCACAUAAGGAAUAUGGAUCAAUAGAUUGACUGAGAAUUUCAAAAUGGCCCAACUUGAUGGAGGGUUCUAAUAUUUUUGUUCCUUUUAUUAAAUUCCUUCUAAAGAAUGAUGAACUAUUUGUUAGAUGUUCUUCAGUAAUGAAAUAUGUUGGACCUGAUGUGGCCAAUAUUAUUGGUGAUGCUGAGAGUACAACCCACUACUGUUGGUGUCUCCAUGGAUUUUAUUUGGUUUGAAGUCACAACCUUGAAAGGCAUAAUCAGAUAUAAUCAGAUAGCUACAGUAGCCGUCGAAAGUCAAUGAACAUGUAGGUGAACCAUGAGAGUACAUUGCAUAAUUAGACCUUAUUUGGAACAUAAACCUAAUAAAAAAAAGGUUAAAGUGACCAAAUUGGCCAGUAAUAAUCAAGUUCAUGCCCUUGUAAUGCCAAACUUUAGAUUGAUGGACCUUUUAAACCAAAUCAUGUUAGUUUAUAGGUUUAUAGUGACAUUUUCCCUAUUUUCAAUAACCAAAAACAUAAAACUCCCAAAGCUUGAUCUUGAAUUUGAUUAUACGAAAUAAACAAAAAGAAAUUACAUACCUUCACUAUAAGAAUGAAACUCUAUAGAGAUGAAACCUAUAGGUAAAACACAUUUUGUCGUGAUUAAGGGCAUGUAGGGAACAACAUGUCAUCGUAAUAGGGUUGAACAACAUGUAACACUCACGAAUUUAGGGUAAACAUUUUAAGGGUUUAUAAAUUAUAUAAAAUAUAUUUAUACUACAUACAUGUUUUAUGGUCAAAGAUUAUGGGCUUAUAAUAUUUGAAUACAACAUAUCUAGAAAUUAACAAAUUAUGUCAAAUAAGUGUCUAAAAAUAAAAGACUAUUUAGGAUAAAUAGUAUUGAUGAAAGUUGUAGUUGUUGUUAUGAUGAUUUUUUGGAUAUAAAGAACGUUUAAAUCUGACUUCGUAUGAGGAAGUUAUGAUUUAUCUAAGUUUUGUGUUCAAACCGAUAUGACAAGGUGCGCUAUAAAAAGUGAAUCAGAGAUAGGUUGCUUUUUAUCCUAAGUGAUCUAAAAAAAAUUGUAGUGCUCGUUAAUAGGAACUUGUCCAUGUAAACAACACUAAAAUCAAUAUUCGUAUGAAGAAGUUAUGAUUUUUCAAAGUUUCGAGUGUGACAUAGUACAAUAGUGUGCGAUACAGAAAUCGAAAUUUAAAAGUAGUUGAUUGUUAGCCAAAAAAAUGUAAACAAGAGUUGAAGAUUUCAUAAGUAUGAAUUUUCGGUAUAAAGACAGUCGAGAACGGAACUCGUAUGUGAGGUAUAUAAGAGAAACUUGGUCCCUAAGUUUCAAAACAAAGGCGAAAUCUGUUUAGAUUUGUAAAAUUGAAAUAGACUGAGAAUUAUCUUACAAUGUCUAAAUGAAAGUUGUAGUACACUUCAAUAUGAGACCAACGAUAUAAAGACAAUUGAAAAUGGAAUUCAUAUGAAGAAGUUAUGAAUUUCAUAGCGUUAUUUAUAGUCUAAAAUUCCUCGAACUGAAACACGAAAAAUAAAGUGAAAAGUAGCCGACGAAGUCUAAAUCAAAAUUGUCGUACUCGUCGAUACCUACGCAUAGAUAUAAAGAUCUUUGAAAACGGAUCUUGUAUGCGAAAGUUAUGAAUUUUACAAAAUAAUUAAAAAUCAGAUGGCCCAGAUGAUGACAUGUGGCACGUUUUACGUUUUACAUACACGAGUACUAUAUUAAGUAUCCCCCUCCUACUUAGAUAGUCAUAUAUAUUCUGUCUGUAUUGGAUCACUUCUAGGUAUGUCUAGGUCAGGCAGCCUAUAGGUGCCUGGAUGACCGGUCUAUAUCAAACAGAAGGAUUAUAAGUUAUCUACCAGAGCGAGAUGACGACCACUUACAAACCUAGUCUUGUGGAAUACACUAAAAGACUUAUAGUCUGUAGAUGUUAAUGAAUUAUGUGUUCAUUUGAUGCACUCCAUCCCCCUUAUAGUUACCCUCAUUGAUUAGUGCCUGCUACUAAGGACACCCCAAGGCAAUAUAGUCAAAUAACUAUUUACAGUGAUCCAUCAGGAUAGAUCUUAUAAGAUCACUGUAUUAGGAUAAGUAUGUGAGGAUUGACAACGUUGGUAGUUUCAGGGAAAUGUUUUCUAGAUGAUUAUGUUGAGUUGUUGGAUGAAUUUUUUUUGCAGGUUAUUGAUGAAUAUAACAUUUUGGGAUUCAAAACCCUAAGUAACUCAUCAUGUUUCCCAACCUGACCCACUCAAUUUUGAUGCAUCACAGGUAGCGAUGUUAAGACUGCUGAAGAUUUAAAUAAGAUGUUGAGUGAUUGGAGAAAAGACAUGCAAUAGAGUUCAGGACCACAAGUCUUUACGCUGUAACUAUGUUGUGUAUUGAUUAUGACAUCCUUAGAGUUUUGUAUUUUGAAACAUCUGUAAGUUUCCGCAAUUUUUUUAUUAUACUGAGAUUUUCCGCAAACAAACAUGUUAUGGAUUUUCAAAGUGUAAAGAAUUUUUUUGUGGGUUCUUGAAAAUAGGGAUAGCUACGUCCCCGACAUAUUGUCUCUAUGGGUAAGGUGGGAAUGAAAAAAAUGUUGGCUGGUUUCCAAAAAGCUAUAAGGAUGAUACAUCAUCCCAAAAAGAAAUUAAAUUAAAUAUAUAAAUUUAUGUUAAUCUUUUUAAUUGUAAAUUUGGCAUUUUGUUUGAGGGUGUAUGGAUAACAAGUUGUCCUUAUAUGGUCUAUAGUCUCUAAAAUUUGAGUAAGUCUCUAUUUCUCUUUAACCGAUCGCAACUCUAAAGCCCUUCUCUUUCACUCUCUUAGGACAUUAGUACAAAAAUCGACAUUGGCCAACAAAAAAAGUGUGGCCAUAUGUUGUUAGCCACAUUUUAUUUUUUCAGCUCAAAUGUGAUUAAAUGUUUUUGUCCUUUUAGGUAUCAUACGACCACAUUGAAAUAUAGUUGUAAUAUCUCAAAAUUUUAAACCAAAUUUUCUUUUUUAAUAUAAAGGAAAACCAUACUAAUUUUAGUCUAAAAAGAUAAUCAACCAAUUGUUCACAUCAUUAAAUUAGAGUCAUAAUAAAACCAAAGUGCAGAAAUUUCAACAAUACAAAAUCAGAUGUGAUGCCAACAUGCCGUGCCUUUCCACUUGCUAGAAGAAGUAUGCAGAAGCACCUGAAACAUUUAAAAUUUAAACCAUAAUCAUAAACCUUAGUGAGUUCCCCAUGAUACCACUUACAUCACAAGUAAUCAUACAUAAGUGUAACAGAUUUAUUUCAACCAUGUGAAUGCUACAGGUCGUACAUAGUCUCACAAUCACUUUUUGCUAUGUAUCAAAGAUAGUCUUUCCUGCUAUGUGCCAAACAUAGUCUUUCAUACAAGUGUUAUGGGCUAAACAUAGUCUUUCAUGCAAGUUACAAAGAUAAUCAACAUAUAGUGUCCUAUACGAUAUAGUGAGAAGACUGGCCUGAAUCAGAGCUGAAACCAAACUACUCGAAGUCUCACAGAACCAGGUACACAAACCACCUAGACCAUCAAAGCCAUAAUCCUCUGCAUAUAACUCAAAACCUCCAAGUUUGACCAAAAGUCAAACUGGUAAAAUAGUCAAUGAUCAAAGUUAGUGGUUAACGGUCAACGUCCUCCACACCACGGCCAACCCCAUGGUCACACCGUGAUGGCAUCCCAAAAAAUAGUUGCGACUGCAACGCAUAACCAUGAUGCAGAAAAUCCUUGGCCACAUUGUGAGUAUUCUGGAAGAACACAACUUCAUUAAAUUCUUAAUUCUUAUAGAUCGAGCCUUGUCUCUUCAGAUAUAAAUAUUUUCAAUGACUUAACGUCUAAAGUGUGACAUCCCCUAUUUUAAAGAACAAAAAAGCUUUUCUUUAUGCUUUUAAAACCAUGUUUUUUUGAAAGCGUGUCAUUUUAUUAAAACAUUUUGAGUAUAAAUGAUGUUCCAAAAUACUAAAAACUCUAAGGAUUUCAUAAGCAUACAGAUAUAUCAGUCCUAAAUACUAUUGCAAGUUGUCUCUUCAAUCACUCAACAUCAUAAUCAACUUCCAACAGCCUUAGUACCACUACAUGUUAUGCAUAGAAUUUGAGUGGGUCGGGUUUGGGAACCUGGUGAGAGACAUAGGGUUUUUGAUCCCACAGUAUUAUUAUGAUAAUAAAUCAUAUAUAAAUAUCCUGCAAAACCAACGCUACCAAUAAUAUAGAUAUAUAAUCCAAAAAAGAUAUUUAUAAGAUAAUAUACACCUACAUACCUAGCCCAAUCGAUUUUCAUAAAUCCUAAUCAACGAUCAUCUGGAAGAAUCGCCUUAUCCGAUGAAUCAUUUAGAGCAACAACUUGACUACACAACCAAGGGAAGGGGACAGAGUACCCGAAUGAACACACAAUGCUUUUCCCUGGAUGAGAUUCAUUAACAUAUACAGAUUGUAAGUCUGCUAGUGUUCCACAAGAUUGUCUAGAAUAGUAAGUGGUCGUCAUCUAUAUUCUACUACAUAACUAGUCCCAAUAGUACAAUAGUACAAUUUUGGUCGUACCUGAAAAGUUUUAUAGGUUAUAAAUCAAUGCAUGAGGAAGAAAUAACUUAACCCUUAAGUUCACAUGCAACCUAGUUGUAUCUAAGUUUUCUCUAUUGAGAACAAUAAACUCAUAAUAUCUAGAACUCUAAGGAGGCCCUACUAUUAUCAAACUUCACAUAGAGUUAGGGUUUACAUACCUUUUGAUUAUUAUAGUAAAUAAUCAAAUCAAGUCCUUUCUUCAAAUGCCUUGGAAAGCAAGCAACAAAAUAUUGAUGCCUCUAAUGGUUUAUACCCAAACCCUAGCAAUUAGAAGACUUGAGGAGAGAGGAUGAAAUUUUUGGCUCUAGCCUUUCUCAAAGGAGUGUAUGAAAAAUAGGAUCCUAAGGGUCAUAUUUAUAGCUGAUAUAAGGUGCCUUGGAAACCCUAAUUUGAAUAUAAUACUAUUAUUUCAAAUUAAAUAAUUAUCCAACUUCCUAAUUAUCUUCAAGGGAUAAUUCUAGAACCCUUAAAGGCUCUCCAAAACUGUCCCCUCCUAGGAAGGUUUUGGAACCUUUCUAUUAUUCAACUUUUGAACAAUGACAACUUAGUCCCUAUAAUUUUCUAAAACCCUUAUCUUUAAGGGAUAAUUCUAGAACCCUUAAAGGCUCUCCAAUUCAUUUCUGAUUAAUUCUUAAUUAAAUAUUACUAAUUCUAAUUAAUAUAUUAAUAUCAUAAUAUAUUAAAAAAUUAUUUAUUGCUAUUUAUUAAUCACAUAAUAAAUCAAUAAAUCAACCUCUCUCUUUAAAAGUCAUUAUAGUCAAUUGCUAGUUCUGAGGGCAACCCAAAAAGGACUUUGCUUUUAAUUCAAGUAUAUACCAAUUUAGUUAUUAGAUUAGAAACCUUAAUCUAACAGCCACCCACUUGGAUAAUUUUGUAACUACAAUUGAAAAUAUAACUUCUAAAUUAAAAAGCAAAGUGUGCUUUCCAAAGCAACUGUCGAACUCUGAUCCAAUCAGAAAUUGGCCCCUAAGAUAAGCGAUCAAAUAUUCCUUUAUUCUUCAAGAUAUCAUAUGGACAUGAGACAUGGAUUACAAUCAAUCUCAUUGUCUAAAAUUAUGUUUCCUGAUCUGUGAUGACGUCAUUAGACUACUAAUUGAAUACAUCAAUUCAGUCCUAGCUGGGCACAACACUAUAAUGUGAACACCAAAUCACCGAGGGACCAAAUAUAUUGCUUUUCCUAUUAGGGCAAAAGGAACGAAUAAACUUUGACUUAUAUACUUAUACCCUUUACUCACCAAAUCGUGCAUGUAAUUACGUUUAAUAGUAUCGUGUUACUGAUCCAUUUUCGCAAUACAAAUGCACAAUUGACUUGUAAAUUACAACUUAUAUAUCUUUGUUUGAAGAAUAAAAGAUAUUAUCAUCUCAAAAUUAAUUGUGAUAUAAUAUAUGAAGUAAUUCUCUGAGCGUGAGUUUAUCCAAUACUCAAAAAUCUCCAUUUUUCAAGCACUCAUGAAUAUUGUAGCAAACCCAUUGCAAUGUCUAAUCUCCAUAGACAAUCUACAACCUUUUCAAGACAGUCGUACUUUACUACUCACUUCCAAAAGUAUGAGUGACUGUGAAAUUUUUGAAUAAUCAAAUCUUUCAGGAAGUAAAACAUGCAAAAUAAAACACAAAAAUAAACAAACAAAAAGGCGAUAACUAUACUCAUAAAUAAUUCUCUAUUAUUUAAUCACCAAAUUCAAUUACAUUUAUUUUCUUAAAAAGUUUAAACUGUCAAAUAACUACUAAAACUAACAUCUUCUCUCAAGCCCAUGCUCCAAGCAUGCUGGUUGUGUUUAACCCUACUCAGAGCUUUUGUGAAAGGAUCUGCAAGAUUGUCUUCUGAUGAUACACGCUUCAUGUGACAUCCCCAAAAUCUCGGCCAGAAAAGACCGAUUUUCAUUUAUGCUUUUAAAUAAUUUCAGAGUAAAUCCUUUUGAUUUGAAAGAGUUGCGGAAUUUGUUCCCAAAACAAAACAUGAUAAAAUAAUAUUUAUCAAAGCAUUUCAUCAAGAGAUGCAUUUCAUUAUAUAAUCAAAACUCGGGAUGUCAUGUUCCGAUACAGACCAUAAAGCAUAAACGAUAACAUUACAAGUCAUUCAACAAAUAUAUACAUAUACAGACUUGUAAACAAAACAACAAGAUGAUCCAUCCAUCUUACGCCCUUGUGCCACUUCUUGUAAUACAAAUAAAACUGAGUGGGUCAGGCUUGGGAGCCUGGUGAGCAUAUAGGGUUUUUAACCCACAAUAAAUAAGUUAUAUUUAAUUUCACUAACCAAUCGCUAUCCCGAUUACCCAUUCCCGUUAUCCUCACUUUACGUCCCUAAAACAACUAUCUCAAGGGACCUAAUCUAGGAUUUUCAUCGGGACGGACAUCACUGCGAAGGGGUUUCCUCAACAAUAGAUAUCCUAAAGGCAACCAUGAGGGGGAUAGAGUACACCGGUGAACACAUCGUUCACAACACCUACAGGUUAUGAACCUGCUAGCGUUCCACUGGACUGUCUAGAAAGAGUCCGUGGUCGUUAUCCAUACUCCGCUGAAUAACUAGAUCAACAACAACAACAACAUCGAGGCCUCUCAUCUGUUUAUUACACACCAACUAUCUACCCAUGUUCUACCCAACAUAUUAGUAGAUAAAAAUAUAUAUUUUCAUACGUAGUUUAAAGAAAACCUGUAUAGCAUGCUUUAAUCAACACAUAUGUCACAUAACAGAUGAGGCACACACACAUAACACAUAUCUCAUAAAGAAAUAAGCAGAUCUAUAAGAUAGAAGAGAGUGAAUACUCAUUCACACAUAACACAACCAAAUAUAUACACAUAGCACGUAUUUUUAUAUAAAAUACUUCGUAUUAUUGUAUUAGAAGAAAUAACUACACACUCACUUGAUCAGAAGACGAUCCGACAGCACUACGGCUUAUAGAAGUAGUAAUCCACAGCAGAUCUGGAAGAUCUCCUCGAAAAUCGAACUUCUCGCGGGCAGAGCUUCGACUCGGGAACCGCGCUUCUCGGGAUCUUCGGGAUCUCGGGACUUGCCUCGGGGCUAGAGUAUGAUACCGGGNNNNNNNNNNNNNNNNNNNNNNNNNNNNNNNNNNNNNNNNNNNNNNNGGAGCCUCGGAGUACGCAGGGCGUAUUGCAGUACGCAGCGCGUACUGCGUCCGAAAUCGUCACUGCAUGCGUCAUCCGAAGUGUUGACACUAUCGGAGUACGCGGUAGUGUACUCGCGUACGCGGGGCGUACGUCGGAUCAGACUGGUGACUCGGCUUCGGAUAAUGCCGGAUUUUUGAUUUAAAAAUAAAUACAAUUUAUUUAUCAAACUUCGGAAAUUCAUAUCUUCUUCAUACGAACUCCGUUUUCGACGUUCUUUAUAUCCACGGAAAGGUGAGACUACGCUCUAUAACUUUCGUUUAGACUCCGUCGGCUAAUUUUGAUUUAUUUUUAUUAUUUAUUUUUAAUAGGCCGCGACAGAAAAACUUCGUUAUAAAUUCAUAACUUCUUCGUUUGACGUCCGUUCUCGCCUAACUUUUUAUCGCUUCGAUACCAACAAUGAGAUCUUCGAUUCUCAUUUAGAUUGCCUCGGCUAAAAACCGCUUGAUCUCAAUUCGAGUAUUUCAGGCUGCACAUCGCUAAGUUGAAACUUCGAUAAAUCAUAACUUCCUCAUACGAAGUCAGAUUUGGGCGUUCUAUAUAUAUUCGAAAACCUCGUUUCAACUACUACAACAUUAACCAAAGAUAUUAAGUUUAUUUUACACUUAAAUUUUGAUGCUUAUUUUUAUUCUUAAUUAAUCAGACCACAUAAUUAAGCAACUAAGCACAAAACACAUAAUACUCAAAUAAUACAUUCUUAUUAUUUCAAAAUGGGUUACAAAGGUUAACCUAGACUAUCACAUUGCUAAAAAUGGCAAGCCCGGAAACACAGGCGUUACACUUCACUAGGAGAUGAUAUUCUUCAACCCUAUGUCUGAUGUAAUCGUACUUUCUUUCGGUAUGUUUGGAUCUACCAUGAUCCUUUGGUUCUUUAGUCAAAGAAACCACCCUUUAAUUAUCAAAAAAAAGUUCCAUUGGCUCUUGAAAGGUCGGGACUACUUUGAGAUCGCCGAUGAAGUUCUUCAACCAAGUCGCCUCCUUUUAUGCCUCACUUGCUGCGAUGUACACUGAUUCACAAGUAGAAUCAUCCAUCUUAUCCUGCUUGGAACUUUUCCAAUUCACCGCUCCACCAUUUAACACAAUCACCCAUCUCGACUGAGAAUAAAAGUUGUCUCGAUCUGUUUGAAAUCUGGUGUCACAAUAUCCACUUACUCUUAAAAUAUCACUACGACCAAGGACUAGAAACAUAUCCUUCAUCCUCCACUGAUGCUUAAGAAUCUUAUUAACUGCAGUCUAAUGAGCUCUGCCAGGAUUUCCCUCAAAUUGACUAACCAUGCUCAAAGCAUAAGACAUACCAGGAUGAGUACAUUUCAUAACAUACAUGAUCUACAGCCGAAGCAUAUGGGAGCCGACUCAUGUAAGCUAUUUAUUGGAAUUCUCCAUACUAAAAAGUUUUAGUAUUUUAUCCAAGUAUGUACUCUAGCUAGGAUAAUAAGUCAUUUCUUUCUAUGCCUCAAAAUCCUUAUUCCAAGAACUUAGGUUGGUUCCCCUAGGUCCUUCAUAGCAAAACACUUUCCAAGCCAAUAUUUCACUUCUUGCAAGGUCAGAAUGUCGUUUUUUUAUAAGGUGUAUGUCACCAACAUACAAUAAUAGUGUACUUACGUAUUAGAAGCUUGUAAGGAUGAUUAGGGUCCAAAAAUAAUAGUGUGUUCUUGGUGUUCUUGGCAAAAUGAAGAACACUUGAAGAUCUAUCCAAAAAAAGAGAUUUCAUGGAUGAAAUCAUGAAUAUUCACUGGAUAUGGAAGGAUAUCAAGUUGAAAAUGGAAAUAUUACUUACAUAUUUGAAGAUUGGAAGAAAAAGUCUUAUGAGCCUUGGAAGAGAAUCCAAUUUCUAGGCUUAAAAUGGUAAAAGUGAUUUAAAAUGACUAAGUGUCAUAUAUAUACCAUAGAGUUUAUGGCCGUAAACUCCAUUUUACGGUCGUAAACUCCAAUUCUUGGAGUUUUGUGGCUAGACUAUUGUACAUUGAACUCUAGAGUAUACUUCCUAUAAUUACCUCUUGAAGGUACUAAGCUUUAGAACACUCAAACAGACUCUAAACAGUGCUAAAAGUUAGUAGAAACAAGUCUGACUUUGAUUGAAGUGAAUGGUUGUACGAAAUAGAAAUUUCGGGCAGUCACAUCAUCCCCCCGUUAGAGAGAAUUUCGUCCUGAAAUUAGAUUUUAAGCAAUUAAGUUACAAAUAACUAAGCAAAAAGAUGAGGAUACUUCAAUUUCAUUUGAUCCUCGCGCUCCCAAGUGAAUUUAGGUCCUCGCUUGGCAUAGCAGCGAACCUUUCACUAUCGAGAUACAGUUUUUGCUUCUUUUGUUUGACUUCACUAGGAUGAUACCUCUUCCUGGUCGAAUGUGUGUUGAAUGUUUUUGUAGUAUGUGAAUAUAGUACUCUUUGUACAAUACAGGUAGUGUCUCCAGAUCUUCAGAGCAAAUACCACUGCACCUAACUCAAGAUAGUGUGUUGAAUAGCUGGCUUCGAGUGUCUUAAGCUGACGGGAGACAUAGGCAAUGACCUUUCCUCUUUGUAUAAGCACACAACCAAGCCCUUGGUUGGAUGCAUCGCAUUAUACAACGAAAUCUUUUAUCCUUUCUGGGAGGGAUAAUAUCGGUGCGGUGCAUAAGGCUUGUUUCAGUGUUUGGAACGCCUUCUCUUGUUUCUCUUCCCAGUCAAAGGCCACUCCUUUCUAGGUCAGUGAAGUAACGGUUUCACAAUGCUAGAGAAGUUCUGUAUGAACCUGCGAUUGUAGUCAGUGAGACCUAAAAAUUUACGCAUUUCUAUAGGUGUCUUCGGAGCUGCCCAAUUCUCAAUGGUCUUGAUUUUGGAGGGUCCACAUGAAUUCCCUUCUUGCUAACAACGUGGCCCAAGAAUUUGACUCUUCGAAUCCAAAACUCGUACUUAGAGAACUUCGCAUAGAGUUUCUUUGAUCGUAAUGUUUCUAAUACUUUUUGUAGGUGUUGACUAUGCUCCUCUUUACUACGAGAGUAGAUAAGUAUGUCAACGUUGAAAGCAAUGACAAAUUGAUCCAAGUAAGGACGACACACCCUAUUCAUUAGAUCCAUGAAUACAUCUGGUGCAUUGGUUAAUCCGAAUGACAUCACUACAAACUCGUAGUGUCCAUAACGAGUUCGGAAGGCUGUCUUAGGGACAUCCUACUCUAGCACUCGUAACUAGCGAUUUGGCUACUGGGGUAGUCCCUCGGACUAAGUCGAUUCGGAACUCAACUUGACGUCGUGGUGGUAACCCUGGUAGUUCUCCUGGAAAGAUGUCGGGAAGGUCGUGUGCCAUUGGAAUGUUCUGAAUGUAUUUCACUUCUUGGCUCGCAUCGACGAUGUGUGCAAGGAAUGCGUGAUAUUCCUUUCACAAGCACUUCUGAGCUUGAAUACACGAAAUGAUGCGAAGGUUCAUACUUGAUUCGUUGCCGUAGAUAACUAGAGUUUCGUUGUUAGGGAGGUUAAGACGAACUGCUUUCUCAAAGCACACGAUGUCGGCUCGAUGUAGACUCAACCAACUCAUACCGAUUAUGACGUCAAAACCUUGGGGUGGAUUAGAUAUCGUGAAGAUCUAAAAGAAAGUAUGAUUACUCAUAAAUUACGGAAAAAGGAUAGGUACUUCUGUUCCAUCUGCAUCUCUUGUCCCGAUCUGCAGAAAGAGCAUUUGUUUGGCUUCUAAGUUUAUUCGCAUGACAGCACGAUCACUUGUAGUCUUUAGUAGUCUCCAUCCUGAAAUUCAUAUUAGAAAUCACACUUAGUUCAUCAAUCAUAACCUCACGUAUACGAGUCGUUUAUAAUUAAGAUUGAAAAGGCAGUUAAAUAAACAAUUCUUAUAUAAGCUCACAUCUAAACAGGGAAAAGAAGUUAAAGCGGAAUCAUCAAUUCUAAGCCUGUAGAACCUUGAUUAUGUACCACCCUUGCGUUUAUAUUCCUCAGCGAUAGAUUAACCGUAUUGGUCUUCGGAUUGAACUUGACUUACUGUACGAGUGUUAUUCUAGGGAGGUUUGCCGAGGUUACUUCGGGAACGAUACGAAACAUAAAGGCACUCUACACAUGAGUACCUCCGAGUUCUGGAACGUCGACCUUGUUAGAAAGUCGAUUAUGGGGAAAAGAAUUUUCACACAAAACUGGUACUGUGAGGAUCGAAUUGACUCAGGUCAAAUGACAAUGUCGAACUACUCAGAAUAACUGGCGUUAGACUAGUCCAGAAAGGUGUUACAAAAACACAACGAUGCAUCUUAUGAAAGAGUUUUGGUACUUUAGUUUCAACUAUGAUAAUGCUGUUGCGAACAAGGUAUACUGCAAAAAGCAAGUACAAGCAGCACGAGAGUCCCUAGAACGGAUGGGAUCUCGCAGAAUGAUACGAUUCGAGUUGUGCUAGUAGUUUAAAAGUUUUUAUAAGUCUAACUUUAUCGCUAUAGAAUGUAUUAGUAUUUCAACAUGGGUCCGAAGUAGUCUCUCCUACAUCGGUGAUCCUUAGUAUCUUCCUGUCUACGCCAGAGUUCUUUGUUAUCAGAUAAUCCUUCUUGAGGCGUCCUAUCUCAUUGCAUAUAUGACAUAUCUGGCUAGCACCAGCGUCGGUGGUGGAAGUGAUGUGCCAGGUCGGAGUUAUGUGGACACGAGCGCUUUCAUUGUCCCUCCUUUUUGGACAAUUCCUUUUAUAGUGUACGGUUUCACUACAACCAUAGCAAGUCGGGCUGACUCCGAUGCUAGUGGCCUGGAAGAUGGUUCGUGUCGGCGCUCUACAGACAUGAGCAGAGUGCCCCAUUCUGUUGCAAUUUUUACAUUGCAAUACUCGGAAAACUCUGUUAUAAUGAAAUUUACACUUGUCACACUUCGGGAGUGUUCCCUUAUACUGUUUGAUCGGUGCUGAAGUGGCAGGGGUCGCCAUUUGUUGCUGUUGCAUGGCAAGUCUUUGAGAUCGCUUGCGCUCAUUUUUGGCUUGACGCCUUCGUUUCCUAUUCUCAGAUUUGUGGACUUGGGGGUUUGUGACUACUGUCAUUUGUGGAUUUCCCGGGUUGUUACAACAAUUUGAAUUGUCAACACCUUUUCCUUCUUUGUUUGUGUUACCAGCGUUGAAUUGUGCUAGGACAGCUGUCACGGCAGCUGUUACCGCGACUUGGAAGGUAGUGGCGUCUAUAUGAAGGAUUGGGGUUUCGUCGUUUGGCUGAUUAUUUUUGGAUGACGACAUAGUUCUGUUAUAUGAUAAGAAAAUGAGUGCGUGAGUGAUUUUGGUCGGUCCUAGAUGUAUUCUACUCAUUCUUGUAAAUGUAAAUUUUUCGUUUUGUUAAACUGUUCUCUAUGGUUUGACCUACAUCCCUAUGAUGCAGUAUUGGUAAAGAGUUGAAGUAAGUUCAUAGAAGGUUCACUAGACGAUUGUCAUUCCGAACUAGGCUAUCAUUGGUUGGUGGAUAAAAUGAUCCAACCUUCGACAAGAAUUGGAAGUGAUCCUUGAGCUAAAUUACCAUAGUUCAAUAAUUUGACGAGAGCGAGAUUUAGAUAGUGUUCUAACGAAUCUGUCACAUGGAUUAGUCGGCUGUCAAUAUCAUUGAUAUUUAAGAUGUAAUAAGUUCGGGAAAAUUUGACCUUGGAGUUGGUCUUACGUCAUAUCCGAAGUAGAAAAGUUUUGACAGAACAACGGCCUAACGAAAAAGUACUUACAGUACAGGGAUAGUUACAUAGAAAAGUGCUACUUGGAACAUAGAUAGGGAGACUAUUCCUUAAACCAAAGAAAGAAAGGUAGAGUAUCUCCUACUGGUGACGGGUAUCCCUCGAGUGAACCCUUAGUUCAGCCAGCUGACGCUCCACAUCAAGUAGGUGUCUUUCGUACACCCUUUGGCGUACUCAGAGCUCUAUGACUUCGACUUGAGUUUCAACUAGUGCAUGCAGUAGGGUUACAUUGUCUCUCCUAAGAGUAAGUUCAAGAUUGCGAAUGCUAUCCGCAUUGGAAUUUGUGUCUGCCUCGAGUUCUACGGUUUGUUGAAUGGAUGCUACAUUUAAUUCAACGUUUCGAGUCAUUCUACGAACUAAAACAGGAAGAAUCCUGUCUGCGGAUCCUCCUUUGCUCACAUGAUAGAAGUUUCGGUCUCCGUUGUAUGGUAAGGGUUGGCCCUGAUCAUGGCUCCACCUUUCCAAGUACUCAGCCCACAAAGGCGUCGGGCCUUGAAAAGCCGGACGAGGGUUAAGAUUUGCGAUUGGAGCCACUCGGGGUAGAUUCUCAAAUUCUGGCUCGGAGUCAGAACCAUCCAAAAGCCUUAUGCGAGGUGAUCAUCAAAAGGGAUUGGAUGAUCCUUCUCUGGUUUUGCUUCAAUCCAUCCAACAUGGCCUUGAUUUGGGAAGUAUGGGCUGCCUUGGGGAUUGAAUCCAACCAUGUUAUCUACGCGAGAAUAAGGAUAAGGAAAUAAUUAAUAGACGUACUAAUUAGGUAAUUAUAAGAUGAUCUUUAUUAGUUACUUCAAUACUUGCAUAGUGCAUACCAGUUACAUGUAAUCAAAACAGGAUAGACCUUCAAAUAAGUGAACCUAACUCCAAUUCCUCAACCAAACAAGGAACAUGAAGUAAAGCAAAGAUCACAUAUUCUAAGUCUAUGAUAUCGUAGUCACAUAUAACCUUAGUGUGUCCACUUAGCAACUAUUAACCUACUAAUAAAGACCUUUUUAGUUCUCAGAUAAGAAUUAUAGUAACACAAAAUACUCCUAUAGUAUUUUAGGUUUAUGUUAUGUUCUAAUGUUUUUAUUGUAGUAGUGUUGGUAAGUUUUUAGGCUUGUUGCAGCCUCACAAACAUCCUUGGGCAUAUGCUAAUCACUUCUCGGACCAACAUAGUUGAUCAGGCUAUGUCAUUCCCAGAACUGACCAUACAUCCUCGAGUCUAAUUGUGAUUUUCAACAAACGUAAUACUUUUGUUUUAUCCUAGUGAGACUGAUUUUAGUAUGAAUGCAGGUAUGCAUACUUCGUUAAAUAUUUUAGUAUUUAAAAGUAUAAACUCUUGGUCAGAGCAUUUUAAUCCCGUUGUGUGUAUAGUUUGUAUAUCUUUUAUGGAUUGAUAUACUCGAUUCACUAUAAAAAAUGCUCUGAUACUAAUUUGUCACACCCAAAAACCGGAACGACGGAAACGUUCGGGGGCGGAGGACGUCAUGUACAGUAUCACAACAAAGCAUAGUAGUAAACAAGCAACAACAUCAUCCAUUGCGUUAAUAAUAUAAUUUAAUACAAGUGUGUUCUGUGAAGUUUAUAAGACACCAAAAAUGUAAAUCAAAAUAAGAGAUGAGUCUUGAACGAGCUCCAUCUUCUCAAAACCUGGCAUCUGUACCUAUCUACUGAUGACCUGAGUAUACAAGUUAUUUUUAAAGAGUUGAUCAGCUUUAAAGUUGGUUAGGUCAUAAGCAUUUUAGUGUCAUUGCUUGUAUGAAAAUGUUUGUAAGUUUUUGAUGUAUACGUUUGUAGUAAAUGUUUGUAUCUCCUAGAAAAUCCUAUAUUUUCUACUAAACAUAGCCUUCUACCAAGGCAUCAAAUGUUCUGUAUGUCUUUCUCUUGUAAGAGUGUGUAUUUCCCAAGUGUGAAUAUCAUUAACCAAAAAUAUAAUUUUUACAUUACCGUUUAUGUGAGAAGAUCACAAUGUGAAUGCAAUGGGAAAAUAAUAAAGUACUGUAGUGUUGUAUUAUAGUAACUACUGUUGUACUAACUACCUUAAAUCAAUUGUUAAUUAAGGUAUAAUUUGAUAUGAUUGCACCAUACUAUCGACUAAAAACACGACGAUGAAAGACGUCAGAAAAAAUGACAUUUGGCACCCGUAGACUUGCAAGUCCCACUGUAGCGAACAACAAGGUGUAGGAUAGUCAAUCUAGUAUAGAUCUAUACAAAAAUUUAUGCUCUCCCUCCAGGAGACUCUGGAUACAAAACGAGCCAUGGCAGUGAUGCCAUGCCCCGAAACAGUGGUUCACAUUUAUGUUAUAGUAUUCUUGUAUAUGUAUUGUAUGUACUAGUGUAAUUUAUGUUCUCUUUGUCUAGUAUGUAAUAUGUUCUCUUUGUUUCUCAUCAUAAUAUGUUCUCUUGUAUAGUGUAUAGUAUGUAUUGUUUCUCAUUAUAGUAUUCUCUAUCUGUUUCUCGGUAUAGUAUUCUCUAUCUGUUUCUCGUUAUAGUAUUCUCUAUCUGUUUCUCGUUAUAGUACGUAUUGACUCAUGUAUGAACUGACUCUUUGUAUGUUUCAUUGUACUAGAAAUAGUGAAUAGUGACUUCCUAAACUAUACCUAUUAUAGUUUAUUAGUAAUUUCUGUAGUUUGAAUGAAUGAAGGUAUGCCUUUGCUAUCCAAAGGUACUGGACUGAUUGAUAGUACUUUUAUAUCUACAUAUGUAUACAUAAUAUAUAACUGAUAUUUAAAUGACAUUCGGACAAAUAACCGAUACUCUUAGGCCACAUCCAAACAAGAAAAAGGAAAUAAAGCGAGUUAUCAGUCCUAAGUCCUUUAAACAUUACUUAUAUAACUAUACAUAUAUAGACAUGCUGUUGGGUCAAAAUAUGGUUUAUACUUUACUUUUCUGGGCAAUUGUAUUUUUUUGUAAUAUUUAUGAGUUUAUGGUCAUGUUUACGGAUGAGUUUACGACCGUAAACUCAUUUACGGCCCAUGUGUUAUCCGGCCCAUAUUCCUAGUAUAAAUAGAGGUGUUAGGGUGAGGAGUAGAUUUUGAUGAACACGAAGUAGUUUACGUCCAGAGAGAGAAAUCGUGUGUGUAAAUCUUUUGUAUCCGGAUUAUAAUUCAUAUCAAAACAUACAAGAUUCAUAUUUUUCUUCUUCUCAUUCUCUUCUAUUUUAUUUAACAUCAUCCGUUUGAUUGGGAUUCCGCACCAUCAAACGGAUCUGACUGAUACACGGGCAAAUUAGGGACUUAAAAUUGGUAUCAGAGCCAAGUUGUAUCAGUCAAAAGGUUUUAUUGUUUCGUUUGGAAUCUGAAUAGUUGGUGUUUACGGUCCAAGCUUACUACCGUAAACACCGAGUUCUUGGGCCGUAAACUCUAUUUGGAGCAAUAUUUGAUCUUAUUUUCGAAAUAUUUUUGCGUUUUUGGAUAGAUCUCGCAAAAAUAAGGGGGAGAAAUAAAAACAAAACAAAAAUUAGAAAAUUAAAAAAAAAUCCAAAAAAUAUAUUGGUUAUGAGUCUGUGUUUGAGGGAGAUGUUUUGGGAAGUGAUAUUAUCAAGUGAUAACAGGCAACCUGAGUCUGCGUAACGUACCCGAAGUUGAAGGGUCUAUGCUCUGACUUGAUGCGUCGGUAGGCAUGAAAAAUUUUAAAUGGACUUGACUAGGGAGAGUUGAACUUAGGAAAUUUGUAGACUUGACAAAUCUUGACCUAGUUAGAUACGUUCAGCCUGACAAUACGACGCUCGGAUAGGUUGAGCAGGGAGAUAUAUAUGGGAAUCUACUCGUCACAUUAAUUGAACCUGUACUUGGAACCGUGGCUUAACUUUUCCUCGAUGUGCGGAUUCUGUCCUUAAUUCCGGUUGGAUGGGGCGACUAGUAAAUUCCGAUAAAUUAGGUCUGUAGAAUAUCAUUUUCUUUCUUUCCGUCUGUUAGUCAUAUGUUGUCUCCUUUGCAUGACUUCCAAUCCGACCUGGUACACAACAUAUGCAACUCUAUUUCUCUGCAGGCUAUAUAUGUGAAAUACUUCUUAUCUGUUAGCCAUAUGACGUCUCCUUUGCGCGAAUUCUAAUCCGACCUGGUACACAUCAUAUGCAACCUUCUUCUCAACCCUUCUGAAGUAGUAAGUAAUAGAAUUCUGAAUCUCUCCUCUCUCUGAAUGGUUGUCUGCUCACCCGGUGUAAGGAGUACUCUGGAAGUUCUUGAUGGCUGGGGCAUAUCAGGAAGCGGGAAACACGUUCCAGUACACUUAAAAAUGAACUCAUAUAGAUUGUCUGUACAUCUCGCUGCUCGAUUUAGGUAGACAACAAUAUCCCUGGUUGUAGUCAGUUAAAUGGUCAUAAGGUGAAUUUAUUUAAGAUUUAGGAGUUAUCAUAAUAACAGAAAUUUACAAUUAGAUAUAUGCCUGAAUCAUGUCAUUGGUAAAAUGUCUAAAACUGUCACAAAUAUUUCGUGUUUAAGUGGACCACAAUGCUGGCAAUCGAUCAGACGAAGAUGUGAAGAUAAGGGUACCGACAAGCGGAUAAAGGCUGUCUAAAAACUUUGAUCCCAAAUCAUUCUUAAAGUUAGAUAUCAUUUUAUUUUUGUUAAAUUUGUCAUAGUUUCUUCUAAUUUAAAUAUUAGGGGAGGAUUAAAAAUUAAAUAUAAUGAAAAUAAAAAAAAUCAAAAAAAAUUCAAAAAUCAAAGAAAAAUCAAAAAAAAUUAAAAAAAAUCCAAAAAUAGUGUUAUUUCUGUUUUAUUUCUUCUUCAGAAAAAUCAAAAAAAUAUUUUUGUUUCUGUUUUAAUUUGUGUGCUAAGUUUUCUUUUAGUUUUGUUUUGUCUUGAAAAGUGAUUUCAGGUAUAGAUAAGACUCAUGGAGUUUGUGUUGAAGAUUUCUGAGCCAAAGCCUCGUCUGUGAGCAUUGAAGAAUUUGCAUUCGAAGGAGCAAGAAAUGAAGAUUAUUCUUUCAACAUUCAAUCCUUCAACCCCAGAAGCAAGGUGAAGCUGCAAUUGAAGAUUAUGUGACGGAUUGCAUUGAAGCCUCCUCAAUCAGUCUGCUGCUAUCUUUGUACCUGUUGAAGUGAUCCAGAAGAUUUGUUCUCUCUGAUGUUCUCUCUGAAGAUUCUCAAGCUGAAAGCGCUAUUUUUCAAGAAUGAGUACGUCAAGCCUCCUCACCCAAUGUGCGUUCAAUGCCAAAUUCUGAAGAAAACCUCAAGUGCUCAAGAUGAAGUCAUUCAUUGAAGAUUCAUAUGUUCAUCCUGAUGCUGUGAAGAAAUCGAAGGUUAAUGCUGAAGCCAAGUUCCCAAUGAAGAUUAUCAAGAAAGUCAACUACUUUUUAGGGGGAGUUUGCUGGGUCAUUAAGAAAAGAAAGCUAUAAACCAAGGGGGAGAUUGUUGGGUCAAAAUAUGGUUUAUACUUUACUUUUCUGGGCAAUUAUAUUUUUGUGUAAUAGUUUAUGAAUUUAUGGCCUAGUUUACGGCUGAUUUUACGGCCGUAAACACCUUACGGCCGCAAACUCAUUUACGGCCCAUGUGUUAUCCGGCCCAUAUUCAAGUAUAAAUAGAGGUGUUAGGGUGAGGAGUAGAGAUAGAUGAACACGAAGAGAGUUUACGGCCAGAGAGAAUAAGGAGCGUAUGUGUGUGAAUCGUUUGUAUAUGGAGCUUUAAUUCAUAUCAUUAAUACAAUCGAGAUUCAUAUUAUUCUUCUUCUCCUUCUCUUCUAUUUGAUCUGAAAUAAUCCAUUUGAUUGGGAUUUCGCACCAUCAAAUGGAUCUGACUGAUACACAGGCAAAUUAGGGACUUACACAUGCAUUUGACAAUAUAUAUAAGUUUAAAAAGAAGUUUUGUAAAACAUUUGAAGAUGUUAAUAAUAAAUAUUGAUGACUUGAUGUCAAUUUAUAAAGUAGUUUGGCAUAUAAGAACAAGUUUGAUGAAAAGUUUAGCAUGAAAAAGUGUUUGAUAAAUAUUUUGAAGUAGUUUCUUUGAUAAAACAGUUAAAAGUAUAGUAAAUCCAUUUGUUUGAUAGUUAUUAAUCACAUGUGAUUGAUAUAAUAACUAAAAUGUUUUAACUUGUAUUCCCCCCCCCCCAAUAAAAGCAUUUAAAAUCAUUUAAAUAGUAGAUUAAGGGGUAUGAACUCACUUGUAGUGAGUGGUUUGGAUGAAUGAGUGGUAUAGGAAGCUAAGUGCCAAUUGAAGACUUGAGCACACACACAUAUCCUAUUUAUCAUAUAAUGAUACAUAUAUGCAUCAAAUUAGUGUUUAAACAACUAAUUAUGCAAGUAAAGACACCCUAGGACAUGGAAAACACUUUGAUUCAAGUGCUAGAAGUACAUAGAGUUGCAUCUAAUGGGUGUAGGGCCUCACUUACGAGUUUACGGCUGCCCAAUGGUAAGACCACCAUGAGUUUACGGCCCAAUGAGUUUGUAACUCAUACCAUUUUGUGUGUUAAUGUCCUAUGGUCUUCCUUGAAGUGUUCUAGACUUAGUUCCAAGGCUUAGGGAGGAGUUGUGGCAACAUUGCACCAUUAAUUAGGGUUUACGGCCCAAGGAGAUUGCCUUGGCCGUAAACACCUUUUGUUCUUGAGUUCUUGAUGUUUUCUAGGUGUUUUAACAAGUGAUUCAAGUAUAUAACAAGCUAAGGGUAGUUUACUUCACUACUAGAAAAAUAGCCUUUUACGACGCGCAAAUUACGACACUCAUUAAUAUAUGUUACGCAAACGAGAGUGACAUUAAAAAAGUGUCAUCUCUUCAGAAAAUUUAAGGAUUUAGGUCACGCAUUAUUGCGUGCCUUUAAAUUAGUGUCAAAAGAAAAAAAAUUAAAAACACGGAGGGCGUUGUACCUUAAAUGCGCGCCCUCUAUAUGUGUCGCUUUAUAAUUUUAAUGAACGCGCGUUCCUUAGUUACAAGCGGGAAAAGAAAAGCCAAAAAAUUAGAAAAGCCCGCUACCCUCCCUACCCUAAGCAUUUUCACGCAUCUUUCAUUCUCCUCACACUGUUGUGCAACUUCUCAAUCAAAGAUCGAAGGUUACGAUUUCAUCUCCAUCUCUCGAAUUCAUCAUCUCAAUCAAGAAAAAGGGCUUCUGAUUUCCAUUCAUCUACUUCAUCGUUUCUGUAAUUUCACCUUCUUCAUCUCUCUGCUGUUAUUGAGAAUACUCGCCAACAGUUUUCUUAUUCCCCACUCGAUGUUGAAAUUUUCAGAAAAAGCCCUAAUUAAGUAUUAUACUCUCAAGUCUCAAUAUUAGAAUCCAAAUAUUAAUUCUCGUUUGUUUCUUAUUCCCCACAGAUAAAAAGAAAAAGGGGAAUUAGAAUGACGAAGGUAGCGGGAGUUUUGGUCCGGUGGUCGUGGUUCAUCUAUCGAGAAAGGAAGAUGGGAACGCAAGCAGCCAUGGUGGCUCGAUGAUGGAAAUCAAUCGAGAAAGGGGAAGCACCUCUGGUGCGGGAUCGAUUUGACAAAAGGAGAAGGGAGAAGCAGCGACGCUUCUCUUGUCUGCCACAGCUUGGGGGGGNNNNNNNNNNNNNNNNNNNNNNNNNNNNNNNNNNNNNNNNNNNNNNNNNNNNNNNNNNNNNNNNNNNNNNNNNNNNNNNNNNNNNNNNNNNNNNNNNNNNNNNNNNNNNNNNNNNNNNNNNNNNNNNNNNNNNNNNNNNNNNNNNNNNNNNNNNNNNNNNNNNNNNNNNNNNNNNNNNNNNNNNNNNNNNNNNNNNNNNNNNNNNNNNNNNNNNNNNNNNNNNNNNNNNNNNNNNNNNNNNNNNNNNNNNNNNNNNNNNNNNNNNNNNNNNNNNNNNNNNNNNNNNNNNNNNNNNNNNNNNNNNNNNNNNNNNNNNNNNNNNNNNNNNNNNNNNNNNNNNNNNNNNNNNNNNNNNNNNNNNNNNNNNNNNNNNNNNNNNNNNNNNNNNNNNNNNNNNNNNNNNNNNNNNNNNNNNNNNNNNNNNNNNNNNNNNNNNNNNNNNNNNNNNNNNNNNNNNNNNNNNNNNNNNNNNNNNNNNNNNNNNNNNNNNNNNNNNNNNNNNNNNNNNNNNNNNNNNNNNNNNNNNNNNNNNNNNNNNNNNNNNNNNNNNNNNNNNNNNNNNNNNNNNNNNNNNNNNNNNNNNNNNNNNNNNNNNNNNNNNNNNNNNNNNNNNNNNNNNNNNNNNNNNNNNNNNNNNNNNNNNNNNNNNNNNNNNNNNNNNNNNNNNNNNNNNNNNNNNNNNNNNNNNNNNNNNNNNNNNNNNNNNNNNNNNNNNNNNNNNNNNNNNNNNNNNNNNNNNNNNNNNNNNNNNNNNNNNNNNNNNNNNNNNNNNNNNNNNNNNNNNNNNNNNNNNNNNNNNNNNNNNNNNNNNNNNNNNNNNNNNNNNNNNNNNNNNNNNNNNNNNNNNNNNNNNNNNNNNNNNNNNNNNNNNNNNNNNNNNNNNNNNNNNNNNNNNNNNNNNNNNNNNNNNNNNNNNNNNNNNNNNNNNNNNNNNNNNNNNNNNNNNNNNNNNNNNNNNNNNNNNNNNNNNNNNNNNNNNNNNNNNNNNNNNNNNNNNNNNNNNNNNNNNNNNNNNNNNNNNNNNNNNNNNNNNNNNNNNNNNNNNNNNNNNNNNNNNNNNNNNNNNNNNNNNNNNNNNNNNNNNNNNNNNNNNNNNNNNNNNNNNNNNNNNNNNNNNNNNNNNNNNNNNNNNNNNNNNNNNNNNNNNNNNNNNNNNNNNNNNNNNNNNNNNNNNNNNNNNNNNNNNNNNNNNNNNNNNNNNNNNNNNNNNNNNNNNNNNNNNNNNNNNNNNNNNNNNNNNNNNNNNNNNNNNNNNNNNNNNNNNNNNNNNNNNNNNNNNNNNNNNNNNNNNNNNNNNNNNNNNNNNNNNNNNNNNNNNNNNNNNNNNNNNNNNNNNNNNNNNNNNNNNNNNNNNNNNNNNNNNNNNNNNNNNNNNNNNNNNNNNNNNNNNNNNNNNNNNNNNNNNNNNNNNNNNNNNNNNNNNNNNNNNNNNNNNNNNNNNNNNNNNNNNNNNNNNNNNNNNNNNNNNNNNNNNNNNNNNNNNNNNNNNNNNNNNNNNNNNNNNNNNNNNNNNNNNNNNNNNNNNNNNNNNNNNNNNNNNNNNNNNNNNNNNNNNNNNNNNNNNNNNNNNNNNNNNNNNNNNNNNNNNNNNNNNNNNNNNNNNNNNNNNNNNNNNNNNNNNNNNNNNNNNNNNNNNNNNNNNNNNNNNNNNNNNNNNNNNNNNNNNNNNNNNNNNNNNNNNNNNNNNNNNNNNNNNNNNNNNNNNNNNNNNNNNNNNNNNNNNNNNNNNNNNNNNNNNNNNNNNNNNNNNNNNNNNNNNNNNNNNNNNNNNNNNNNNNNNNNNNNNNNNNNNNNNNNNNNNNNNNNNNNNNNNNNNNNNNNNNNNNNNNNNNNNNNNNNNNNNNNNNNNNNNNNNNNNNNNNNNNNNNNNNNNNNNNNNNNNNNNNNNNNNNNNNNNNNNNNNNNNNNNNNNNNNNNNNNNNNNNNNNNNNNNNNNNNNNNNNNNNNNNNNNNNNNNNNNNNNNNNNNNNNNNNNNNNNNNNNNNNNNNNNNNNNNNNNNNNNNNNNNNNNNNNNNNNNNNNNNNNNNNNNNNNNNNNNNNNNNNNNNNNNNNNNNNNNNNNNNNNNNNNNNNNNNNNNNNNNNNNNNNNNNNNNNNNNNNNNNNNNNNNNNNNNNNNNNNNNNNNNNNNNNNNNNNNNNNNNNNNNNNNNNNNNNNNNNNNNNNNNNNNNNNNNNNNNNNNNNNNNNNNNNNNNNNNNNNNNNNNNNNNNNNNNNNNNNNNNNNNNNNNNNNNNNNNNNNNNNNNNNNNNNNNNNNNNNNNNNNNNNNNNNNNNNNNNNNNNNNNAAAAAAACAACCAGUUGAAGGGUAAAAAUGUCAAAAAGGGUCCCAAAAGUUUCCAAAACAGAAUACCAGUUGCCCUUCAUCAUCCUGAUGAGGUACAUAUCCAUUUCUAUGAAUAUUCCCAAUUUUGUUUUAUCGAGUAAAUUAAAUGUUUGGUCUCUGAAUAUGGCUUAUUUUUUCAAUUUGGUCCCAAAAGUUUUCUCUUGCAGUUUUGGUCAUCCUUUGAGGUUCUUAUAACUUUUUUGAUCCUUGUUCCAAGUAAUACCUGAUUGUUUUCAACUUUGGCCCUAAAAAUAUAGUCAUUUUCUUGAAACAGAUACCAAAAACUUCAAAUAAGACCAAAAUUGCAAAAAUUAGGGGACCAAAAAUAUAAUUAAUUGUUGUUUGUUUUGUUAUUAAAUGCAUUUCAGGGGGAUUUGGGGUAUAUAUACCUUGAUUUAAAUUGUAGACAGGGGAAGUAUCCUGGUUGUGCUCAUUUUGCCAUAAGAGGAGGGCGUACAAUUUCCAAAACAGAAUACCAGUUGCCAGUAAGUUGUUAUUACAGUAUAUUUUGUUUUGUUCAUCAAGGGCAAAUUGCAGGAAUUAUUAUUGUAUUCCAUUACCAAGAAUAGAAAAAAAGUGAUGAAAUGUUUUUGUUGAUUAUUAUUGUGAAGGUGAUUGUCGUUGUUUGCAACUUCUCAAAGCCCCAUAAUUCAUCAAUCGUGAGACUUAACCACUCUGAUGUGGAUACCCUUUUCCAUGAAUUUGGGCAUGCUCUUCAUUCCUUGCUUUCAUGAACAGUAAGUGUUGCACCAUUUUUUAAAGACUUGAUUAAAUUAAUCAAUCUUUGGUACUAUUUUUAUUGUAUUAUGAAUUGGUUGAUCAAAAACUGUAUAGUGAUAGAUUGAAAAGCUUGUUUAUCCAUUUCAAAAUUUCACCAAAAUUGACAUGAAAUUCUAUAACUCUCGAGAUAUUAAUUGUGGUACAUAGGGAAAUUCUUGAUUUUAAUUGAUAACAAAUGCAUAUACAUUAAGGCUGAAUGCAAGAAACACAACGUACAUAGGGAAAUUCUUGAUUUUAUAAAAUGUGUGUUGUCUCAUCAGGCACUUGUUGUGUUGGUUCAUGAUAUGGGUCCAACCGGGAGCUUAUAAGUGAUGCCAUUAACAGCACUUUGCAAUUCAAGGUAACUAUCAUAUCUGUUGUGUUGUGUUGGUUCAUGAUGUACAUCAUUCAACCCCAGACCGUAUUUCAAGUUAUUCAUUAAUUGGUUAUAUUGAACUUUGGAUUCUUGGAAAAAUGUAUGUUACUACAUGUGUAUUAAAUUUUAAGAUUUUAUAACAUAGAUUGAUGAUGCUUCAAGCCUUUCUGAAUACUAAUGUGUUGACGAUGAAAAUAGGUAUCAUGUGGAAACAGAAACAUAACAAUAAGAAGUAGAAAGAAGAAGGUGUUCCUUAAUAACAAUGUAGUAUUAGGUUAUAUAGUUAGGAAAACCUCUUUCAAUGGAACGAUUAUUUGUAUGACAUUAAAUUGAUGCAAUGGAUUCUAUUUUUUGNCUAUUUUAUUUCUAUUAUGAGAAAUUAAAUGCAAAUUUAAUUUGAAAAUUAAUAAAUAUAUAAAUAUAUUUUUUUAAAACAUUUAAAUUUACGAUACGCAAAAAUGUGUGUCAUCUUCAUUUAUGACAUGGCCUUUCUUGACAGGGGCUUUCUUGAUACGCAUUGCGUGUCAUUAACGCGCGCGUCGUAAGGUUACGACACGCGAAUGCUUGUCAUCUUCCUUUAUGACAGGGCCUUCCUCGAUACACAAUGCGUGUCGUAACCGCGCGUCGUAAAUGCGCGUCAUAAAUGCGUGUCGUAAAUGCGCGUCGUCUCUCUUUAUGACAGGGCCUUCCUUGACACGCAUUUGCGCGUCGUCUGAGCGUUUUACGACGCGCAAUGAGCGUCGUAAAAGGCCUUUUUUCUAGUAGUGCUUACAUAUUAGAAUCUUGUAAGGGUGAUUAGGGUCCAAAAACACUAGUGUGUUCUUGGCAAAAUGAAGAACACUUGAAGAUCUAUCCAAAAGAAGAGAUUUCAUGGAUGAAAUCAUGCAUAUUCACUAGAUAUGGAAGGAUAUCAAGUUGAAAAUGGGAAGAUUACUUACAUAUUUGAAGAUUGGAAGAAAAAGUCUUAUGAUCCUUGGGAGAGAAUUCGAUUUCUAGGCUUGAAAUGGUAAAAGUGAUUGAAAAUGACUAAGUGUCCUAUNNNNNNNNNNNNNNNNNNNNNNNNNNNNNNNNNNNNNNNNNNNNNNNNNNNNNNNNNNNNNCUGAGGCUAGAAUAUUGUACAUUGAACUCUAAAGUAUACUUCCUAUAAUUACCUCUUGAAGGUACUAGGCUUUAGAACACUCAAAUAGACUCUAAACAGUGCUAAAAGUUAGCAGAAACAAGUCUGACUUUGAUUGAAGUGAAUGGUUGUACAAGAUAGAAAUUUCGGGUUGUCACAAAGCCCUAUGCUUCUAGCGACACACCCCGACCCAAAACCUCUCGAAUAAAAACUCGAAACCCAUAAAAGACCAAACGCCCCUAGCCUUGGCUUCUGAAAUCCAUAAACGGGAACUUUCAGAAUUGUGUGUUACAACUCUCCCCCACUUAAACUAGACUUAGUCCUCGAAGUCCGCUACGACCAACUAUCCUACAAUCUGCUCACAACAUUCCUGCCCGAUGCACACAUCACCCGCUGGUUUCGAUCCCCGAAGAACCACUUCCAUUGACUUUCCGCAAAAUAGUUCAAAAAGAUAAGAACCUCGAGAGCACUUAUAAUCACCAACAAUCCUGAGCGCACGACUCUUACCCUACUGACAAUCCUUUUGGUACUUCCCGAGUACUUAUGCUACACAUUCUGGGGGUUCACCUCUUUCUCUUGCUCGAUCAAUGGCCUUCCCAAGGUAGCUUCCCAAAAACAACAAUUUUUCCUUUCUCUGUGAAGGACAUAACCUUCGCUGUAUCUACUUCUCUAGCCACUCCCAGUGUUGUUACUUCACUGAUACCCACUGAAUGUUUCCUCUUACUAUAUGCCGGUGCUAAAAACCUAUCCCAACGAAUGGAUCAGAUAAUCCUUCGAGUAAAAUACUCAUCCCUGCAAUGGUUAGACUUAAACGAGAGCUGCACAGCAGAGUCAAAUUACUCACUCUGAGAUUAUUUAAUCCUGCUGUUAGUGGCAUUAGCACCACUUAGUCAACUAACUACUUCCACAUAUAAUCCUCUUAUCACUGUCCUCGACCGAAGGUCCUGCUAUCUCCUGUCCGCUUUUCGGACGAACCGAGACAACCCUGGUCCCAACUAAUCUUCCAUAAUCUGGGUUACCGGACUCCCACCGGUUACGGAACCCAAGCUCAAUUGCUCAGUCUCUCUCGGCGACUUCCGAAGAAAACUCCGGCUAACGAAAACUGCUCUAUAUCCUUACCACUUUGACUUCAUAAGUCCUGGGAUCCUUGAUCCCCUAUAUUGACUCUAAGAUCUCUACCAGGUCCCACCUGUGCGGCUAAAAUCUCUCGGGCCUCGCCCACGGGUCUCACCCAAACUAUAUCUUAGAGCGGUCUCUCCUUCAAGUCUCACUUGUCUUGCUACUAUCGUAAGGGCCUCGCCUACGGGUCCCACCCAAACCAUACUACUGAGUGACCCUUCCCCCGAUCUCACCUAUCUAGGGCUAAAUGGGUCCUAAACCAUCCUAAAUCCUCAACGUACUAUCCUUUCUUUGUCUCUAUCAGGAUGACUAGGAGAUACGGGCCUCGCCCGCACUCCGCUAACUAGGAGAUAUGAGCCCUCACCCACACUCCUCUAACUGGCUAUUAAAAAUGUCGCGGCUAUCUCGUAGUCUUACCACACUUCCCAUGUUGUGUUUACACUGACUACUAUCCGAAAGCAUCCCAUGCCGGACAUUCACUCAAUCUGUAUCUUGACUCACUUGAGUCCUGCUGGCGAUCCUCCAACCUGGUUUCCGAAACCAGCCAUCAGCUAAUCAUGAAUAUACGAACUCAAUGUUGGGAAGUUUCCUAAACUCCCAGCUCACGUGCUCCUCAAUCCGACCAGCCACUUGGGCUACUUUCCUUCUCCUCAAGGAUGCACACUUAUCCCAAUUUUGUACUUACUUCUGCUCCUGACUACUCGGAAGGUUCUCUCCCACUUCGAUUCAAGUAGAUCCCUACAGAUCCCAGCUUGGAAAGGAUUCCCAAUCCUUUUCUCCAUCUAAAGGUCAAUCUGCUAACAACCACGCUUUCCACCGCUAGAGCUCCAAAGCUAACCAAUACCAAACCCGAACCACUAUUGCAGACUAACGAAAUGCCUCUUGAUCCCUAGUCACACUUGCUACAGUGACUGCAUCCUGAGAACCUGUUCUAAAGGGAAACAUCUUCGAACUACUACUCUCACAUUCACAAUAUGCAGAUGGCAUAUAACUCAUUCAUAGGUAGGAAACAUAAUAUUUUGAAAUACGCUUACUAACAUUGAUGCAAUACCAUAACAACAAAAUCAUCACUGAAAGGAGAAUUCAAAUUACAUACUAGCAGCCUAUUGCGGCUCGAUCUUGACUUCCUGAGGAAUCAUGGGCGUUGGAACCUGAACUCCCUCUCUCUGUCGAAGUCUCUGCAAUGAAUCCUGAGCUACCUUAACCACUAUACGGGGGAAAUUUGCCCUGAAAUGACUAGGUUGAUGGCAACCGAGACAUAACUCUUCCGUCGAUGUGCAUUCUCGGCAGAGGUGACCCUUCCAUCCACACCUACCAUACUGCGACCUGCUGUGAACCUUCUCAUGCGCCCCUUCAUCCCUUGCACUUCCAUCACGACCACUCAGGUCUCUAGUGUCAACUAUAGCAGUGUACGACUGCUCAGAUUGCUGAGCCUAACUAGAAGUGUGCUUUCUCUUCCCUAGCUGCACAUCUAAACCAAUCUCUUGCUCCCGAGUUACCCCGACUACCCCAUCAA
RNAcentral lists this long non-coding RNA (74285 nucleotides) under Lactuca sativa (garden lettuce). RNAcentral describes it as "long non-coding RNA (LSAT_LNC007599)". The stretch from base 329 to 482 matches the Rfam family "Small nucleolar RNA snoR2/U65". Lineage: Eukaryota; Viridiplantae; Streptophyta; Magnoliopsida; Asterales; Asteraceae. The record is from RNAcentral.